GCGAACCAGGUGAGGUGAAAGAAGACCCUAAGAAAAGGCAACCCCAGGCGGCUCCUAAGCCAGACGCCAAGCAGGCUCCCAAAGGGCAACAAGGCACCACGGGGCCCAAAGCCACCCAGGCGCAGCCACAAGCUCAGCAACCUCCCAAAGCCCCAGAGCAAUCUAGAUUAUUCAGUCUUAACAUAGGAGGCAUCACAGAUGCUCCCAAACCUCAGCCAACAACCCCUCAAGAAAGAGUCACCGGGAAGCUCUUUGGAUUUGGUGCUUCAAUUUUCAACCAGGCUUCCAAUUUAAUCUCUACAGCAGGCCAGCCAGGAGGUCAACCACAGGGUCCUCCAUCUGGGUCCCCCUCAAAGCAGCCGCCUCCUGCAGCACAGCCUCCUGCCCCACAAAAAGAUACCCGUCAAUCCCAGCCAUCUCCCAAAGCAACACCUGUGAAGAAAGAAACAAGGCCUCCUGUGGCAGAAAAGCCAGAGCCACCCAAAGCUGAUGGCGGCUCCGCUGUUAAGGAAACAGACGCUGGGAAGAAGGCUUUGCCUGCCAAAGACAUCAAGCCUCCAGCUGUGGAAGCUAAGCAAAGUGCCGAGGCACCAAAAACAAAGCCUCCUUCGCAGCCAGCGUCUUCUUGUCCUCUCUGUAAAACUGAGCUAAAUGUUGGUUCUAAGGAUCCUCCCAACUAUAAUACGUGUACUGAAUGCCAUAACGUCGUGUGCAAUCUCUGUGGAUUUAACCCAAUGCCGCACAUAACUGAGGUAGGCAACAUUUUAUUUUGCGUUAAGAUUUUUGUGAACCACUGUUUUGUAAGCCUCGAAUACAGAAGAACAUUUGAUCAGUCUUCCUGGGAGUAAGCGCCAUUCAGUUCAGUGUAGAAUGUUUCCAAGUAGGCAUGCAAUGCAUACCAUUGCACUGUAAGUAUAUGGGCUUGCUAGCCAUUCUUUUUGUGUGUUUGCUUUUUUUAUAUACAGUUUUUAAUAUCUAUAUGCGAUUUCACUGUGAAGUUUGAACAAAUGUGUAAAUGCAGAGGAGAAAAAGGCUACGCUUAGGGACUAUAUUAUCUUCUGUAAUUUGCUCUGUGGAUAUUUCUGGCAGGCUGGGAUGGCAAGAGUGUUUGCUUUAGAUUCACUUACCACAAGACUGGGUGACGGAUGCCUGCAGUUUAUUUACUUACUUGUCUGAUGUCUUUCCAAUUUCAGCAUAGUGCUUGAAAUUCUUUUUUCUUUCUCUGCUUUGUCUUUUUCUGUAAUUUUAAAAAUUUUCAAUAAAUAUCAUUUUUUUAAAAAAACAAAUAUAGAAACAUAAUAAAACAUUUAAAAAACUUCAAAAAAACCAUAGUGCUUGAAAAAGUGACAUGUAGAACAGCUUCCUUCUUGCAUUUUGCAUCUUACUUUUUGUGUUUGGGAAAUGUUGUAGAUGGUAAGCAAAAUACCGUCUUGUAAAAUGAACUUCCUGCUUCCAACUGAGGAAGUUUUUUGUUUUGUUUUUUAAGAAUAAAUUCAAUACAUCUUUCCUAGAUUUUGAAGCUAAAUAUGACUGGCAGCUUUGCAGCUACUAUUGGUAGAAGCCAAUUUGAAAGUCCCCUUUUGGUCUUGCAGCCCCUUAACCUUAUCCUGUUUUUUCUUCUGUUAAUUCUGGUUUGAUCUCUUUGGCUUUGUUAUUGUCCUGGUUUGGGUUGACCAUUGAAUACCUGAAUAUGUUUAAGUCUUGUGGGAUUUGUUUUGCAGAACGUUGGUUGAUCUUUGAUUACAUAUGGUUUGGGAUGGUUUGUGAAACACCCAAAGACUUUGCCACAGAAGUGUGUGAGCUCUGAGUUAGAAGAUACUAUGCCUUAAACAGUAGAGCAUGUACCCUUUCUUUCAUCAGCUAGUUUAGAGCCACUGUACCCAUUACCUGGAAGCAAAGAAACAGGAACAACAGCUGACUUCUUCAGCACAUCCUUCCGUAAGCCUAAGGCUGGCACAUGAGAGAGAACAAAGAUGUAUUAUUCUCACCAGUGAGAUGUCACUGUCCAUUUGUAGCAGGACAGGAAACAACCUCUAUGAAGAGAAACAGAAAAAGAUUCUGAGCUGAUGUAAAACACAAAUGUUGAUUUACAUGUCAGCUCAGAGCCUAUUGUUUAAUGGCUUCCAUAGAAAAUAAGAGGUUUUAGUUUCUGAUUAACCCAACCAUCUGAUUUAUAUUUACCUUAAUGCCAGGUUCUCUAAAAAGUAAACAGCUGACGAUUCAAUAAAUGAGAAUUUAUAGAUUUCAAAGGCCCAUAGGGUCAUAUGUACUCCGAUGGAUUAUCAUGAAUCUUAGCCAAUGUUCUUACCCAAUGAUUCGCCCAGCGUGGAGGAGCACUGUUUACUAACUCCUUAAUUAGCCAUCCUGUGGACUUGCAGUGAAGGUAGUUCUAUUUUUAGUACACAUGGAAGGAGAAAACACAGGAGCUGCAGAUGCUCACAAAUGAAGCACCGCAGUAGUGACCAUUUUGUGCAGUGAUGCCAAUGGAAACCUAAAGAAUAUUGACUUUGUGUGGUUUAUAAGUUGAUUAAUUUCAGUUUGGGGUUUGGAGGGUUGGGUUCCCUGCUGGGAAGAUGUUUGAGCAUGCAUUCUAGUUGCGGCUGUUGUUGCUGAUGACCGUGAUGAUGAUAAGAAUCAUAUUAGGGGGAAAUUGCACAAUAAAAACUAAAGGGGAAAUCUAACUGUCGGUAGAUUACAGGGAUAGGAAAAAUCUAACUUGCCUGUGACGGGUUGGUGAGGAGAUGUUUUAUUCCUUAAAACAAAACCUAGCUAACAAAAUGCCCCACAGACCAUGGCUGUAGUGCAGGACGUGAUCCAGAGGCGUCAAGGAUUAGUUUAAAAGGAUGCAAUCUCAAGAACCAAAUUUGAAAUCUGUUGUGGGUUUCAUUCUUAUUAUUUUUUAAAGGCAGGUUUUUGUUCAGACACCACUUCCCCCGCUUGUGACAUGGCAGCAAGGGACCCUUCCUCAGGCUUCCAGUGCAAGUAAAGAACCCAAGUCAUAAUUGACGUGAGUUGAGCUGGCACUGCUGUUAGCUGCUGGGUUCAUGCUGCUGCCUUUAAGCCACAGAAGAAGCUGGAGUGGAGGCGGUGAGGCUAUCAUGAUCACAUAUUUAUGAUUACAUAUUUAUUUAAACCCCGCCUUAUUCAGGGCGGCUUACAGGUAAAAUGAGAACAGCAAAAACAUUGGGGGGGGGGGAACUAAUAAUUAAAAAACAAGUAAUCAGUACAAUUGUUCAUCUCCUUAUCUAUGAUCUAUUAAAAACAACCUGAUUUUUAUUUGCAGGCAGCCCCCCACUUACACGUGUCCAGUUUUUGUGUGACCAAGUAUCUGUGCAUUUUGCUGAGCCCAGAAGUGACCUGGAAACAUCAUAAAGAUGUUCCUGAAACAUCACUGAAAGGGCGGAAUGGGGGCGAGGCAGGAUGUUUGCAGGCUUUUUCAAUGGGUUUCAAUUAUAUGUGAUUUUUCUGACUCGUGCAGAGCCUCAGAACAUAAGCCCCGUGUAAACAGUGGGCAGCCUGUAUCCCAUCUGCCAUGGAUGUUUUAGUAGAGAUUCCUGCAUUGCAGAGGUUUCCUCACAACUCUACAAUCCUACGAUUCUCUGAUUCUAUGAUGUUAUAUGAACUGUUUUGAAAGGUGCGUUCUUGUGCAAGCAUGCUACUUAUUUAGUAAUUAGGAACUGGCUGUUCACUUUCAGAAAUUUAACUUUCAAAUGAGAAAAUGUGCUCUCCUCAGAGUGAAAACACAAUUUAGUCCAAAACUAAUGUGAAUUUCAGUGACCUGUGUCACAGGGCCACUUGGAUUACAAUCAAGCCAAAUGAAAGGAAGUUGUCUUUGUUCUGACUUGGACAGGCGGAUGGCAAAGUCACAGUGGGCUGCCUUGUUUGCCUUGUGAAAUCGUUAUAGUGGUGUAGUGGACUUGGAAAGGGGACAUCGAGACUUGGUGCUCAGCUGUGAAGCUGGCUCGGUUGCUUUGGGCAACUCAUCACCUCCUGGAAUUUUGAAGGGAGAGGCAGCUGAUUUGGUACGGGCAGACUUGUCUCAUUGUGUAUAGGAAUUAUUUGCCCAUCUGAGAUCUGCUUUGAGAUCUCAGAUCGGCAAAUGAUGAGUGUAUUUGAAAGAAGGGAAUCUUGGACUUUUGACUUGGAAGAAAAAUAUUAUUAACACCAUUUUGUUCUGGCACUGUUACAUAAGAAAUAUAAUCUUUGGAAUUGUCUGUGUAGCUCCGCCAUCUGUCUGGGGAACACUGUUCUUAUUGUUGUGUGUGGGGUAAGGUUUUCCUAAAGACAUCCAGUUGUUACAGGCUUGAAGUAUUAUUGAAGUAUUAUUGGGCUUGAAGGUAAAGGACACCUGACAGUUGAGUCCAGUUGCGAACAACUCUGGGGUUGCGGCGCUCAUCUCACUGUACUGGCCGAGGGAGCCGACGUUUGUCUGCAGACAGUUUUUCCAGCUCAUGUGGCCAGCAUGACUAAGCCACUUCUGUAGAAACCAGAGCAGCACAUGGAAACGCCGUUUACUUUCCCACUGAAGCGGUACCUAUUUAUCUACUUGCACUUUUUGACGUGCUUAAGCUGCUAGGUUGGCAGGAGCUGGGACCAAGCAAUGGGAGCUCACCCCGUCGCGGGGAUUCGAACCACCGACCUUCCGAGGCCCUAGGCUCAGUGGUUUAGACCACAGUGCUACCCACGUCCCCUAUUGAUCAAUUCACAGGGUUUUUCUUUUUUAAAAAACUAACGAAAACAACCCUCAAAUAUAGUAUUGACGUACAUUGCUUUCUAGUAAAAAAAAAAGUUAUGGUAAUCAUUAAUCACAUUUUAAAGGUUGAGUUGGAUGUGGCUGUUGUAUUCUCUAGUCUUUUUAGGUCAGGACUCAGUGCACCAUAUGCUGGUCUUCUGUUUUAGUUUUGUUUAGUUCCUGGCACUGUGUGUGUCUUUUUAAUGCGGCUAUUUGUUUGGAAUUAAUCUAGUUAUUGUGCCAAAGGAAAGGAUAAACUGAAUGUAUAAGGCAUGUUUAAAGAAAUAAAUCAAGAAGAAGGAUUACAGAAUUUAAAAUAUUUCCUGGUUCAAAUUCCUCUUUGGAAUCAGUGAAAAUAGUUAAAUUGAGACCUGAUCUCAAAGAUGUAAGCACUGUUAUACCAUGAAAAUUAUUUUUUGCUGCUGGCCCCAAUAUCGAAGGGAGGAGAAUCUCUGUUCAACAAGAAUCCCUCCAUCUUCAUCAGAGCCCUUGCAAACACACAGCUAAGAGCCAAACUGCACAUAAUUUGUCAGAUCUGGGACUGGAAUUCCAAGCAUAUUCUCCUUGUCCUUAAAAGCAGACCAGUAGAGGGAAAUGUAUUGGGAUCAUGACUUCUACCCUUUCCCUAUGCUGAUUCUACAGUGUGAAUCAUCUUAAAAAGCCACCACUGUUACUGGUCACAGAAGGGAAAGCAUGCAAGACUUUAUGCUUUUCCUUCUCCAACUAGUAGUGUUUGUGUGGAUGUAUUUCGUAUUGGAGAUUGGGCACAGUAUGGAAGCGUUACCCCUCCCUCUGCAUCAUGGCCCAGUCCCCAUUGUUCCCCCCAGUUGGUUUUAGAAGAAGAAAAAUAUAUAUUGGAGAUGCAGUCACAGCUCUCCCACAUAACACAUAGGCUAAAUUGCACAGUAUGUCUCCCAGCCCACCAGUCUGGCCUGUUUUGUGGAAAGGCGCAAUUUCAUGCAUCUUCUCCCAGUGCGCUGGCCCUGCCUCCACUAAACCACACUUGCGUUACAAGUGGCUCGCCUGUGCUUCCCCAGUCUUCCCACAUCUGCUAAGUGGUAUUGACGCCACAUCUGGUAAGCCAGCACUGCCCUGUUGUCCACUGGGAGAGCCGCUUCUGAUAUACAUGAGGGAACAGAAUGCCUGUAUGCUACCCACAUGCGCACAGUUCAGUGUGAAUAGGCAAACACUAAGUAGUUGAUAUCCUUUUAUAUAUAUAGGAAAGCCAACCAAGUGAUUUUCACAUGGGGAAUCGAAGUUUUUAGAAAAUGAGAGAGAAUUCUCUUUUUUUAUUAUUAUUAUUAUUAUUUUUUAUUUAAUAUUUGUUUAUACAACAAGGAAAAAAAACACACAAAAAACACAAAUACCAAAUUACAAAAAUAACCAUAGACACAUAAUUUUCUUGGCAAACAAUAAAACAUCUAUUGGUCUUAACACUAAAGACGCAACUUCCCGUCUAUUCCAUAUUUCAAAUUCAUAUUACUUAUUGCCAAUACACAUUUUUUUAUAAUUAAACUUAUUCUCAAUAAAUCUAAUUUCUUCUAUCUACCUAGCAACUAUUACUGAAGUUCCUCGAAUGCUGCAACAGAAUUUAAACUACUAUAUUUAUUUUUCAGAUAUUCUUUGAAAACCUCCCAUUUAGAAACAAAUUUAUUCUUUAUUUUUUCUGAUAAACCAUCUAAUUCGGCAUAUUCUGUCAGCUUUUGGAUCCAAUCUUGUAUAGAGGGGAUUUCAUUACUCUUCCAUUUUGCUGCGAUCAAAACUCUUGCUGCCGCCGUCGCAUAUAAAAAGAUAGCCUUCGAGAGAAUUCUCUUUGAAAGAGCUCCAGCCUCCACCCAGGACUGUAAAUCCCCAAAGUUUAGUUUAGUUUUUUUGCAAGGAAGCUGUGGCAGCUAAAUCAAUUUAAGUCUGUAGUGUAGAUGCAGCCUUCAUUCUCUUUGCCAGUUCUGCUUCAACCUAAAAUACUUGCCAUGAUAAGCUGUCAACUUCUGAGGGAGAUAAUGAAAGGACUGUUUAAAAACAAAUAGUCAUUAAAAGAUGGAAAAUGCAACAUCAGAUACUUGCAGGGGCUGCAGUAUAUCUGACAGACAUCUCAAUCACAUGCUCAUUAACACUGUAAUAUGCAUUGUCAUGAAUAAUGACAGACAAAUUGACUAAAAUGCAGACUGCCUGAAGGACCAUCUUCUAUGUAUGGAAAACAAAUACAGCUUCAGAUAAAAGAUAACACAAUCUGACAUGAAGAUAAAGCUGAAUCUGUCAAUUCCUAUGUCUAAUGAAGCCAAAGGGGGCUGCAUGUUUAUUGAAUUAGACAGAACAAUGGUGUCAAAAGAAUACCCUGCAGAAAACCAGUGCUGUACUACUGUUUAAGCAGAAGACUGAGUGCUGUUGCGUCCCUGCUUAGGGUCAAACUAAGGGCCAGGCCAGUUGCUUUACCCUGCGUGGCCUAUCUCAUGCAGGGGAGCGAGCGCAUGCAGUUCCUGCCUGUCCCCUCAACGCACCAGCUCUGCAUUAAAAGGUAAAGGUACCCCUGACCAUUAGGUCCAGUUGCGGAUGACUCUGGGGUUGCGUGCUCAUCUCACUCUAUAGGCCGAGGGAGCCGGUGUUUGUCUGCAGACAGCUUCCGGGUCAUGUGGCCAGAAUGACUAAGCCGCUUCUGGCGAACCAGAGCAGCGCACGGAAAUACCGUUUACCUUCCUGCCGGAGUGGUACCUAUUCAUCUCCUUGCCCUUUUUGGCAUGCUUUCAAACUGCUAGGUGGGCAGGAGCUGGGAUUGAACAACGGGAGCUCACCCCGUUGUGGGGAUUCGAACCGCCGACCUUCCAAUCAGCAAGCCCUAGGCUCUGUGGUUUAGACCACAGCACCACCCGCGUCCGCAUUACAUGUGUUCAAUAGCUCUCUGACAUGUGUAAUGUCACACUUUUUCCUAAAUAAGUGCUGUACAAGUCCUGUCGUGAGGAAAACAACAAGUUUACAAAUUUGCAGUCCUUCCAAGUAAAAAUGGUACCAGCCACCACUGCUUAAGAGUAUGUUGUGUGCUUAAAGCCCUGUUCACACAUUCACUCGAUGGCUGUUGUGAAAGAAUGAGUCUUUGUAGAUUUUAGAAAAACGCUGAUUUCCUGUCACCCACCACAUAAUACUUUUCAGAGAAGUCCAUUUAUAUAUUCGUUCAUCAAGUCUUGAGUAAGCAAGGGCCGAGGGAUUAAGGGGUACUGGUGUGAACAGAUCCUGCUACACCAUGCAUAUGGCAGUGGAUGUGGUACAUGCACCUCAUUGACCCAUUAGCUGUGCUUUCUCUGUUAUUUAAAAUCAAGUUAGGAUGUCAGACUAGACUAUAGUGAUAUCCCUUCUUUCCCCUGAUUGCAGAGGGAGAAGAGCAAGUGAAACUGAAAGCUUUGAUUGGCCCUGUAAGAAAGCUGUCAAUGGCUUUUAUAUACAGUACUGGAGUCAAAGUGUCCCUCGGAUUUCACAUUACAGUGGUGCCUCGCAAGACGAAAUUAAUUCGUUCCGCGAGUUUUGUCGUCUUGCGAUUUUUUUCGUCUUGCGAAGCACGGUGUCGGGAAAGUUUUGGAAAAGCUUCAAAAAUCACCAAAGUCUUUAAAAACCUCAAAAAAGGCUACCACAGCGCGUUCUAUGAGUUGCUCCUCGAAGUCAAGUCGCAACUGUAUUAACGGUGUUAAGAAAAAGGAAACAAACUUGCAAGACGUUUCCGUCUUGCGAAGCAAGCUCAUAGGGAAAAUCGUCUUGCGAAGCAGCUCAAAAAACGAAAAACCCUUUCGUCUAGCGAGCUUUUCAUCUUGCGAGGCAUUCGUCUUGCGGGGCACCACUGUAUGUAUAUAUGGACUUCUGCCUGGAAAUCAUGAUGUUGUGUUCGGGGGGGGGUCACCUUUCUUGUUUUGAGGAAGUCAGUCUGUUCACAUGCUAUAUCCCUACUCUCCCGUACCCGGACCACUUAACCAAGUCUGAACUGUGUUUACAUAAGAUAGCAUACAAACAUGACUUAGUUGGCGGCUGACAGGUGUUUUUUGUUACACCCUUUAAAUCAAAUCUAAUCAAUGUCAGUUUUCCUUUAUAAAUAGCUUUUCAAAUGCCUGCCAGUUUCUUUACAGCUCUUUCAGUCUCUUUGACGAACGUUGUCUCAUCUUUUGCACCUAAUGACUAGCUUGAUUCAGAAAUUUGAAAAUAUGUCCAUUUUCUUUUCUCACCACACUUGUUAUGCUGCCAGUCUUUCUAUCCUUCUGUUUACUUCUUAAGGAUUGCAUUCUGCUCUCUGUGUUUGUGUUGUUAAAAAAAUAUAUUGAAAAGUAGAAAGGAUUUAGGAAACAUAAUUGCUCUUUCAACCAUGCAGUUGAUAAUUUAUGACCAGAUGAGUGUAUUCCUUCACCUGUUUUCAUGGGGGUGCCCAGAUGAAGUAAUGGUAAUAAUACUUUACCAACAUAGAAUAUAGUGAGAGACAAUUCUAAGAGCUCCAGUGCUGAAAAUCUAGUAAAGGUAAAGGGACCCCUGACCAUUAGGUCCAGUCGUGGCCGACUCUGGGGUUGUGGCGCUCAUUUCGCUUUAUUGGCCGAGGGAGCCGGCGUACAGCUUCUGGGUCAUGUGGCCAGCAUGACUAAGCCGCUUCUGGCGAACCAGAGCAGCGCACGUAAACGCAGUUUACUGUAAAUCUAAUUAUAAUAUAACACUUGUUAAAACAAUACUGUAUAAUAAAGGGAUUCCUUUCUCUGUGUUUGUCAGUGCUUCUGCACUGCACUGUAAAGUAAUGUGAAGAUAAUUGGAAUAAUAUAUGGGAACCUAGCAUCUCUCCCCCAAUAGGCACACAAACAGAAAGUUCCUGUGCUGUGAUGACAAAUGCUUACAUCAUAAUCUCCAAUUCAUUUAGUAGAAAAGGUAACAGAGCAUGGCUGGGAAAACAAUUGUUCGGAAGUAUGGAAGAUGCAGUCCAGCAUCAUCAUGUUGGUUAGAGCAUGGUGCUCAAAAGAGCAUGGUGCCGAUAACCUCAAGGGUGCAGGUUCCAUCCCCACAUGGGACAGCUGCCUAUUCCUGCAUUGCAAGGGGUUGCACUAGAUCAGGGGUUGGCAACGUGCGGCCCGUGGGCUGGAUGCAGCCCACAAAGACUGUUUUACCGGCCCACGAGCUGCCCCCGAACUCAGCUGCCCGCUCGGAGAGUCCCCUGCAUGCUGUGCUAAACUGGCGAGGUGCAGGGACUUGCCAAGCGGUGCCGGAAAUCACGUCUGCGCAUGUCCGGAUGCCGAAAAUCGCUUCUGUGCAGGCUUGAUUUUUGGCAUCUGGGCGUGCGCAGAAGCCAUUUCUGGUGCCGCAGACAUGCGCAGAUGCGAUUUCCGGCAUCACGCUGCGCCAGUCCGGCCCACAGACGAUCUCCGUGGGAGUUAUCUGGCCCACGGCCGGUAAACCUUGCCGACCCCUGCACUAGAUGACCCUCAGGGUCCCUUCCAGCUCUAUAAUUCUAUGUUUCUAAGUGUUGUUAACCACACAUGGCAUUUUUCCCUUAUACAGAAUACAGUCAUACCUCAAUGUUACAUCUGCUUCAUGUUACGUUCUUUCAGGUUACGUCCAAUGGCGACCCGGAAGUACCGGAAAGGGUUACUUCCGGGUUUCGCCGCAUGCGCAGAAGCGUGAAAUGAAGUCACACGCAUGCGCAGAAGCGGCAAAUCGCAACUCGCGUGUGCGCAGACACGCCGCUGCAGGUUGCGCUCUUUUCAUGUUGCAAACAGGCCUCUGGAUUGGAUCCCAAUCGCAACCAGAGGUACCACUGUAAACGUUUUCAAGCUUUUCACAGAGUCAUAGUGUGCUGUGGGAACAGGACCAAACCCAAGUUCUUGUUUGAGGAUUCCUUUUUAAGAGUCUACUUUCACAAGGGAAGGGUUUGUCUUAGAAGAGGGAGAGGAUGGGGUUGCCAUGGAUAUCUCAAAAAGGAUGUCAUGGAUCUGGAAAUGUUCAGGAAAGGGCAACCAAAAUAAUUGAGGGGAUGGAGCAACAUUUGGGACCUUUUAAGUUUAGAGACAAUACAAGGGAGAGGUGACAAGAUAGAAGUUAAUGGACGGCAUGGAGCUUAAUCCUUUUCUGCUGAUGGUUAAGCAUGUCAUUCCAAGCAUUAUAAUGUUUAUUAUUAUUCUUAGUUUAUUGGCCUCUUUUAUAUAGGUCACUGUGGUGUGUUACAGUUUGUGGCACUUCUGUAGGAAAUGCAGUAUGCGUCUUCUGUAGCAGUUGUCUCACAGAGGUUGAAUGAGAAUGCUCUAAAGAGACAGUUGGGUUUGUGUGCCUGCUGUUGGUUUUCAUCACUGGAAUUGUUGGUGGUCUUUGAAAGCUACAGUCUUCAGGCUGCGAUGGGAAAAACAGAGACCUUUCAGCAGAUCCAUUAUAAGGUCAGUGCAAUACCUCAGAAUGUUAGCUGGAAAAUGUCUGGUAGUUCAUCUUUUCCAUAUCCGUAGCAGCUUGUGGCAAGCCUCUCUCUGUCUUUCAGCUGCUCAGUCUUGCAGUUUCAAUAAUUUGAUAAUUCUGAAUUACCUUACAAAUGUACAGAUUUUCAAAGAUAAUAUAUUUGAAGCACUAUUAACACUCAAAAGGUGCUAUGGAGGUAAUGUGGAUGCUCAGUCCUGCUUUGAACUUCUUGAUCUAGUGAUUUGCAGAACUUGUGGUGAGGAUUUCCACCUGUCAACACACACUUAUUUAUAGACUUCUUAAACUAAUGGAUGCUGCUGAAUCACGAGGAGAGCGGUUAACCUCCCUCCAUUCUAUUUUUCUCUGUCUUGGCAGGUUUGCGUCAUCAUCAAAAUUUUUAAAAAAUGGAUUCAUAUACCCCCUUGCAAUUUAAUGUUGCAGGAGAGGGCUUCCUCUUUGACACAGUAAUCACUAUUUUAAAAAAGAAAAAAGAAAUCCUGUUUGUUGAGUAACUGUCCAAAACUACAGUAUCAUUUCAAGUGUCUCUGAGUAUUAGAUAUCAAGUUAUUGGCUCUCUUGAUUUCAGCCUCAGCAAAUCUCAAGCAUUACUUGACUCCAUCUCCAGAGUUCGUACAGAGGCUUAAGACAUGGAAUUAGGAAGACUUUGAAGUGGGGUCAACCAAGGAAAUUUUUCUUGGGAAAGACUUCUUCCCCACUAUGGGGCAUGUGUAAUAUAUAUAUAUUAUUAUAUAAUACAGAGAUAGAGAGAGAGAGAGAGAGAGACCCCAUGAAAUACUUUUCUCACAACAAACAACAAGGUAAUAUUAUAUGAAUACUGAUAAUAUUAGAAACAAUAAUAAAAAUGAAGUAAUGAGCUAUUUAUUUAAAAAGUCUGUUUUUUUCCAGAAAAUCCUAAAAAAAAAACCACUUUUGUUUAAAAUUAGUAUUUAGAACUUGAACGGUAAUCAGCUAAUUUAAUUGAUUAAUAAGUGCCCCUCAAGUAAUAUGUGCAAAUAUGUCUAAUUCCCAAAGGAUCUCCUGGAGAGAUGGUCUCUGCCUUUGGCUCCUGCAGAAAGCAGUGAUCCACUGGAUAUAUAAGGGGUGAGACAAUCUUUAAGGGUUCAGGGUCCCUAAUUGGCAGCCAGUAGUUUUUGAAACAGUAAAGCGUUAAGCAAUACAAAAAAUGAGAGAACAUGGGGUUAUAUCAUAAAUAGAAAUUAUAACACUAAGAUAAAUUAGUAUAAAAUCCAACACUUCCAAUAUUGUAAGUAAGCAAAUAAAUAAAUAUCACAUGAUUAAAUCUGUCACACGGGAAAAACUUUUAUAUUUACCAAUCUCCAAUUCAUAUCUAAUUCAAUAAAAGAUGUUGUAAGUGGAGUGAUCUGCUUAAAGGCAAGGGUGCCAUAAUUGAUAGCUGUGAGUUUAACAAUAUGUGUGCAUUUCUCUGGAGUCAGAGAAGGAAAAUGAAACAAUGCGGAAAAUUUAAACCUCCUUCUAUAUUGAGAAUUGGAGCAAAGUUGUUUCCUUCUCAGAAGCAAUGCUAAUGGUCCAUCUUCUCUGUUAGAUCUUUUCUGGAAUGUGCUUCUAUUUCUGUAAUCUGCUGCCUCAUCAAGUCAAUAGGCCUAAUUUCCUUCUGAUUUUUAGGAACCAAGACAUUUGAAAUGCAUUGCACUACUGUUAUCAUUUUAGAUUCUGAUUCACAUACAUCUUAUUCUUUAAGCCAUUAUUUUACUGUUUUUACCUUGAAGCUAUUUGAAUGGAAAGUUGAGAAUACAUAUGAGAAUGAAAUGAAUAAAUAUUUAUUCAUUCUUUCCCCUACUUUUCAAACAUACAGCAAAGAGCUGCUGCUGCUGUCAUGGUCUACAAUGAACCUGAUAUGAUUUGGAACAGAAAAAUGCAAUCUGAGCAAGCAUGCCUCAGCAAAAUUUGAAAUGAUUCAAUCAGGUUCUUUUAUCAGAGUUUAUGUACUUGUAUAGCUAUUGAAGUCUUAGAAUAUUCUAUUUAGUUUGCUGAUUCACCCAGUGACAGCCACAGAUGUGCUUGUGAAAUGAAUGCAGGCAGCUUCGCUAGCAUUUACAGUUAGCUUAACUCGUUCUGCCUGCAAAGCUCCCUUUGUCUUUAACAACUGCACCAGAAUCUGAUUUUCAACAGGUGAACCUUUUCUGGAAGAUUUCCACCUGCUGAAUUGCUUGGCACCUAGCUGUUGAAGGAAUAGACAACCUGCCAGAAAACAUUAGCAUCCUUAUUUAUAGUUUGAGCGUCUUGAAAGGGCCACUUGGAGUCUGCUUCAGCCACUGGGGACUUCCCAUUAAUCUGAUGUCUUCUGGGGUGAUUGAGAAAUCAGAAACUGUGGAAGAAAACUCCGCAGCAGAAUACUUGCUUUGCACAAAGGAGGUUCUGGGUUCAAAACUGCUGAUGGAGAUGAACAAGUGGCAUUAAAGACUUUUGGCAGAGAUCCUGGAGGACAGCUGCUAGUAGAAUAGACAUUUCUAGACUAGAUGAACAAUUAGGCACAUUCCUCUGGCCAAUGAUAACUGAAAACUUAUGCCAGAGUAGUUUCUACAUUCAACCUCUUUCUUUGGCUGCACAGUCUUUCUUGUUCACUUUUGGUCAGUUGCUCUUUCCCCCAACUUUCUUAUAUACAUUUUGCAUAUUAUAAUUGCUGGCUGUUGUUGAUAUUAAAUAAUACAAUACAUUUGGCAUAUAAUUUAAAAUGUUAUUAUAAUGUUGCUCAUUUAGUUAAUCGUAUUUUAACUGUUUUUUUAUAUUUUUAAACCAUCUUAGGAAGGUUUUUGCACUCUAUGGGGCACAAAGAUGUUUUAAUCAAAUACAUUAUGCCCCCCCUUUUAUCACCUACACAGCCAAACAACACAACAACAUGAACCCACCGGCAGCAUACGAUUCAAUAUGGCUAACUUAACCCAAUGCGGGUGGCGGGACACGGGUGGCGCUGUGGGUUAAACCACAGAGCCUAGGACUUGCUGAUCAGAAGGUCGGCAGUUCGAAUCCCCAUGACGGGGUGAGCUCCCGUUGUUCGAUCCCAGCUCCUGCCAACAUAGCAGUUCGAAAGCAUGCAGUGCAAGUAGAUAAAUAGGUACCGCUCCGGUGGGAAGGUAAAUGGCAUUUCCGUGCGCUGCUCUGGUUCGCCAAAAGCGGCUUAGUCCUGCUGGCCACAUGACCAGGAAGCUGUACGCCGGCUCCUUUGGCCAAUAAAGUGAGAUGAGCGCCGCAACCCCAGAGUCGGCCACGACUGGACCUAAUGGUCAGGGGUCCCUUUACCUUUAACCCAACAACAACACCUCUCACACAUGCACAAACAAAUCCCACUGUAGCCAACCAAAGACAUUCAAUAAUACCUUAGGCCUUAUACCCCAACCUCUCUCACCACCAAUGAAACAUAACAAGCGAACAGAAGGAGUACCUACCCAAAUGACGCUGACACAAAACCCCCAUGCAUACACUACGUAAAAGAACAUAAGCUCCCCUCCCCUUUCUUCUGAACCCUAUACAGUCAAACCUCCGUUUUCAAACAUCUCAGCUGCCGAACGUUUCGGAAGCCAAACGCCGAAAACCUGAGAGUGAAUGCUUCCUUUUUCAAACGCGCCUUGUAAGUCGAAGGGCUUUCGAGGCGUGUUUUUCAUUUUUCCCCCAUUGACUUUGUAGCCAGCCCUUUGAUCCCUGGUUUUCGAUCGUUUCGGAAGUUGAACGGACUUCCAGAAUGGAUUACGUUGGAAAACCAAGGUUCCACCGUACUGCAUAUAACACCAGUGUCUCACAACAAAUGUAACUGAUCUGUAGAAAACACAACCUGAAGGAAGAGACGAUGCAUGUGCUUUUGUAAACGAGGAAAAUCUUUUAUUACAUUUUAAGUCCUGCUACCCAUGUCUGCUGUGUAGGGACCAUCAAUACUAGUGCCCAACUUUUUCAUUCAGUUUCUUUCACUUGAGUGCCUACCACAGUGCAACUGAAUUCUGUGUGUGUGUGUGUAAGUGUUGUGCUACUAUUGUAUAGGGGCUUCAUCUGCACUCCUUUUAAUGUGGGAUUCAGUUCAAUAUUGAGAACAUUUUCUUUCUCUUUGCUGGCUGAUAUAGUGCAAUUGGAGGGCAGUACGUUUGACUGUUGCUUUUGCAAUCUGGCUCUUUACAUUUUACCCGAGUACUCUGCCUACCUCCUGGUGUUUUUUGGUUUGAGGUUUUGCAGAAAGAUUGGUCUACAUGGAAUUAGUAAAUUAUUAUUAUUAUUUAUUAAUUUGUAUACGGCCCUUCAUCCAAAAAUCACAGGGUGGUUCACAACGUUAAAAAAACACAACAUAAAAUACAUAAUAAAAAAUAAACAACAGCAGACCUGACCAGACCAAACCAAACCAAAAUCAUCCCACCCACAGAAAGGGAUAGUUGGGGUAAAGCUUGUGUCUUCUAGGCUGGCUUCAUCUGUAAUAUAUUUCCAUCAGAAAUUAAGAACUAUCUCUAACAUUUGUAACUAGCAGAAACACCAGGUGUUGGUGUUUCAAGAGCUGAAAUCACCCAAGAUGAACUCUGUCCCAUUUUGUUCUGGCUGUUUGUCUAUAUUAUACCAUGGACUAAUGAACAAUUACAGAAUUAUGCAUUGAAUGACCAAUUCUUGUCACAUCAAAGGAUUUGAAGCCUGCCAAACUGAGUUAGAAUGGAAAAUGUAACCACCAAAUUUUUAUGUGAAAUGUAAGUUGCUGACUAAUGCAAGUGGGUAUCGUAAGAUGUUUUCACACAUUGCAGCUUGAAAGGUCAGUAAUCAGAAUGAAACUGCAAAUGAGGCCUCUCCCAGGACAUUAUUACUGUACUAAUGGGCUAAUAAAGGCCUGUGUUAGAACUGAGAUGAAGUUACUGAAAGAAAAGCAGUUACUAAAACACAAUAUUCAUGAGAAACCACACGUUAGAUCUGAGAUGUAUUAUCUUCUUUACUGGGGGAAAGUAAAUUGAGAAAAUUAGUCGCUGUAGAGAUGUAGGGGAGCUGGAUACUUGGCUUCAACCAUUGCUCAUUGGACUUUUCAGAUGGACUCUGGAUAAAUUGUAAGUUAAGCUUGAGUGCAUAUAUACAAACUUCUCUCUCUCUUUGUGAGGUGUCUUGAAUCCUGAUCUUGUGAGAUUUUCUAAUAUUUGCUACACCCCAUCAGAACUAGUGUUGGAAUCAAAUGCUUUUCUUUUUUGAAAAGAAAAAGUAAGUGAGUCAGCUUUUGAAGUUCUAGGACUCAUGACUGAUAAAAGUGUGCCACCCUAUGUUACAUUUUCUGUCAUCAGACACAGUUCUGGGUAAAUUACAUGGACUUUGGAGGUUAAAGAAGGAAGAUACACCCCCCCCCAAACUUUGAAAAUGAAUAGUGACCUUUCAGAGACUUUUGGAAUAACAAAUUAACAUGAAAUAGUGAUUUUUUAAAAAUGUAAUUGAAAAGAAGAAAAGACAGUAGAGUAUUCUUUUCAGAUUGCUUUGUCUAUGUUUUGUUUUGCACUGUCUUGUUAGUUGUUUGUCAUGUCAGGUAUUCGUUUAAAUAUUGAUUUGACUGAUUGUAUUUCAUUGUCGCUUUCCAUUCAGAUGAGUCCCAGAGCUGCUUGCAAAUUAAACAACAGCAACAUAGCUACAUCACAAUUUACAUAAUACAUUUAACACGUCAUCAAUAAAACCAUUAUACUUCACCACAAUUGAUCAUACGAGCAAAAGCAGAAUCUAAAAAGCAAGCAGAACAUUAUUCCAUUAUUCCUCAUAGCUCAGUUAUCGUUCUCUCUGAACAAUCCUUCAAAAUCCACAGCCAGCAUGCAAGAAGACCCUGAUCCAAUAAAUAUACUAACAGAACUGUACUAUAACAAGCACCCAGUUUCACACACACUAGUCAUGUGUCUGGAUGUGUGUUCCUGGGCAGCAGCCCUUUUCUCAAGCUUUUGCAGAGAGAUUAAACUUGACACGCUCUCCCUGAAGAAUAGUACCAUUUGCCCCCACAAACAGUAGCAACAAAGGUGGUGAUAUCCUUGUAUAGACCUAUGGGCUGGACAUCCAACAAAUACUCUUCUCAACAGUUCUCACACAGCUAUUGGUGAUUUUAUGAGGGGGUUUUUGGGGGGAGUAAAAGGUAAAGGUAUCCCUGACCAUUAGGUCCAGUCGCGGACGACUCUGGGGUUGAGGCGCUCAUCUCGCUCUAUAGGCCGAGGGAGCCGGCAUUUGUCUGCAUGUGGCCAGCAUGACUAAGCCGCUUCUGGAGAAACCAGAGCAGUGCACGGAAACACCGUUUACCUUCCCACCAGAGCGGUACUUAUUUAUCUACUUGCACUUGACGUGCUUUUGAACUGCUAGGUGGGCAGGAGCUGGGACCGAACAACAGGAGCUCACCCCAUCAUGGGGAUUCAAACCACAAGUCCUAGGCUCUGUGGUUUAGACCACAGCGCCACCCGUGGGGGGGGGCAGAUCUCCCUAAAUGUGUUGUGGGUUUGUGCCAUAAUUCUUUGAUUUAGUAAAAGUUAGAAUUAAGCAAGGUUUGGUUAACUAUGCCAAACGUGGAAAUUUCUGAGGUUAGAUUAUGCAAACGAAUCCGACUAGCUUAGGAGGGCCAUCUGUGUGCGAGCUGUUAAGGAAUAAAGCAGAGUACAGUGGUACCUUGGGUUACAUACGCUUCAGGUUACAGACUCCGCUAACCCAGAAAUAGUACCUCGGGUUAAGAACUUUGCUUCAGGAUGAGAACAGAAAUCAUGUUCCAGCAGCGCAGCAGCAGCAGGAGGCCCCAUUAGCUAAAGUGGUGCUUCAGGUUAAGAACAGUUUCAGGUUAAGAAUGGACCUUGGGAACGAAUUCACCUUCUUUUCAGAGCCACAUAAGAGCUGGGGCAGAAUUGAUCAAAUCUGGGUCUCAAGAAAACUCACAUUAAGAACUAUAAAGUGUGAAAUCCAACCUAGAACCCUCUCUGAUCAUAAUCCGAUAGUUUUCGAAAUAAAAGGCACAUCACAGGGCGGGUUCAGAUGGAGAUUGAAUGAAUAUUUAUUGGAGAGUGAAGAUGUUGUUGAAAAAGCCAAAGCCACCUUAAAAGAUUAUUUCAGCCUGAAUCUUAAUAAAGAAACAAGUAUGGAUAUAGUCUGGGACGCCAGCAAGGUGGUUUUAAGAGGGUUUUUUAUUCAGCAAAACAGCUAUAAGAGGAAAGUAAGAGAACAAAAGAAAGAGGAAAUUCUUAGUCAGCUAAGAGAAUGUGAGAAAAUAUUAACAACAAAUCCGAAAGAUGAACAAAACAUACAAAUAAUAAAAAUGCUACAAACACAGUAUUCAAUGUUAACAAGUCAAGAAAUUGAAUGGAAAAUUAAGUUAAUGAAACAAAAAUAUUUUGAGUCAGCUAAUAAAACAGGUAAAUUAUUAGCUUGGCAAUUGCGAAGAAGGCAAAAACAAAACGUGAUAAACAAGAUAAAAAUAGAGGAGCAAUUGAUAGAAGAUCCAAAAGAAAUAAAGAAAAAUUUCCUCAAAUUUUAUGAGAAGUUGUAUAAAAAGGAAGACGAAGAGAUAACCCGAAUAGAAAAAUAUUUAGAAGAUUACAGUGGGAAGACUAUAACAGAGGAAGAAAGAACUCAAUUAAAUAACCCCAUAAAGGCAGAAGAGAUCCAAGAAGCGAUAAGGAAGAUGAAACCAGGGAAAGCCCCAGGACCGGACAGAUUGUCAGCUAAAUAUUAUAAAGUAUUAGAAAACCAACUAACGCCAGUGCUAUGUGAUAUCAUGAACAACAUAUUAAGAGGAGGAAGGGCACCAGAGACAUGGAAAGAGGCUCACAUUACGAUGAUCCCUAAACCGGAUACGGAUAAAUUAAAUAUUAAAAACUACAGACCCAUAUCACUAUUAAAUAACGAUUAUAAAAUCUUCGCGGAGGUGAUGGCAAGCAGACUUAAAAAAUGUCUAGUAAAUCUAAUACAUAAGGAUCAAGCAGGAUUCCUUCUAAAUAGGUUACUUAAAGAUAAUGUAAGGCAUACCAUAAACAUCAUUGAAUAUUUGGAAUGUAAGAAUGAAGUACCUGCGGCGCUGAUUUUCAUCGAUGCCGAGAAGGCAUUCGACAAUGUUUCAUGGCAGUUCCUAUUAAAAAGUAUGGAGAAAGCAGGGCUAGAGGGCGAGUUUAUGGAAGGAAUAAAAGCAAUUUAUUCGAACCAAUCUGCUAAACUGAUUAUAAACAAUAAUCUAACAAAUUCAUUUAAGAUUGAAAAAGGAACAAGACAGGGAUGCCCUCUAUCCCCGCUUUUAUUCAUUAUGGUACUAGAGGUAAUCACGUAUAAAAUAAGAGAUUCGAGGGAUUAAAAUAGGAGCGAAAGAAUACAAACUAAAAGCGUACGCAGACGAUCUGAUGUUAUCCCUAGAAAAUCCGCAAGAAAGUGUUAGUAAGGCCUUGGAGAUGUUAGAAGAAUUUGGCAAGCUAUCCGGUUUUAAAUUAAAUAAACUAAAGAUAAAAAUUUGACUAAAAAUUUGGGAAAAGAUGAAAGAGAAAAAUUGGAGAUACAGAAUGGAAUCAAGGUGGCAAAAAAAAUAAACUAUUUGGGAAUUUGGCUAACUACAAAAAACAUAAAUUUAAUUCAGGAUAACUAUCUUACAACAUGGAAGGAGAUUAAAAAAGAUCUAGAUACGUGGAAUAGAGUGAAACGUUCGUGGACGGGAAGGAUGGCGGCAAUAAAAAUGAACGUACUCCCAAGAAUGUUAUUUUUGUUCCAAAAUAUCCCAGCGAUCAGAGGCUCCAAAAUGUUUACAGAUUGGCAAAAAACUCUUUCGAAAUUUAUAUGGCAAGGGAAAAGACCGAGAAUUAGAUUUAAAUUACUUACAGAUCGGAAAGAAAGUGGGGGAUUCUCGGUACCUAAUCUGAAAUUAUACUUCGAGGCCUCCUGCCUCUGUUGGAUCAAAGAUUGGAUUAAUUUGGAAAACACUGACCUGCUAGACAUAGAAGGCUUCAACAACAGAUUCGGUUGGCAUGCCUAUUUGUGGCUAAAUAAAGAAAAGGUACAGAAAGGUUUUUCAAACCAUAUUAUUAGAGGGCCACUAUAUGAAGUUUGGGAGAAAAACAAAAAACUUUUAGAAUGGAAAACACCCUGGUGGUUAUCGCCAAUCAACAUUUUAACUACUAAAAAAGCAAAUAUGGAAGGAGAAAGAUUGACCUACUGAUAAGAUCAGAAAGCGGAUGGAAGAUGAGAACAUAUGAGGAGUUGAAAGACAAAUUAACAGGCUGGCUGCAAUUCCAUCGAAUAAAUGCAGCAUGGAAGGAAGAUAAAAAAGUAGGGAUAAAUGAGAAAAAAAUCUAAAUUUCAGAUAGAAAUAAUUGAAGGUAAAUCCAAGUUAUUAUCCAAAAUGUAUAACAUACUAUUAGAAUGGGACACCAAAGAUGAAGAAAUAAAGGAGGUCAUGACAAAAUGGGCAAUGGAUUUGGGACACAAUAUAGAAUAUGAUAAGUGGUUGAAAUUAUGGACUAGUGGAAUGAAAUUUACGGCAUGUGUCACACUCAGAGAAAAUUUGGAAAAGAUGAUGUAUAGGUGGUACAUCACACCGGCAAAAUUAGGGAAAAUGUAUAAAACAGGAAAUAAGGCCUGCUGGAAGUGUAAAAUCAAAGAAGGCAAUUUCUACCAUAUGUGGUGGACAUGCGAAGAAAUGAAGAAAUUCUGGGAACUUAUUUAUAAUGAGUUAAAAAAAAUAUUUAAAUACACUUUCCCCAAAAGACCAGAGGCCUUCCUAUUAGGAAUAAUUGGGGAUGAAAUUAAAAAAGAAGAUAAGACAUUAUUCCAGUAUGCUACAGUUGCUGCUAGAAUAUUAACUGCACAAAAUUGGAAAAGUCCAAACACCCCAGCGAUCAGAGAUUGGCAAAUAAAAUUAUUUGAAUUUGUUGAAUUAGCAAAAAUGACACAAAAAAUCAGAAACCAAAAAAAUACAAAGUUUAUUAGUGACUGGAAUAAAUUUAUGGUAUACAUUGAAGGGAAUUAUAGAAACUUAAAAACUAUAGCAGGUUUGAUAUAGAUCUUACGAUGCGUAAACCAUUAACAAUUAACAGCUGCAGGAAAAAGAAAGUAUUUUUAUUAAGAAGCCCGAAAUCGGGAGGGAAGGAGGUCAAUAGGUGUGUAGAGGAAAGAUUUAAAUAUUUAAAGAGAUAAAGAUUUAAGUAGGAAGACAAAUAACUGUAACGGAAACUGAUGUUACUUCUGUGUUAUGUUUGGAUAUCUCUUCUGAAAUUGUUGAUUUGUUUUUUCUUUUGGUUAUUUAAGUGAAACUCAAUAAAAAGAAAUGGGAAUGAAUUAAGUACUUAACCCAAAGUACCACUGUACUUGGUCCAUCAAUGAAAACCAUCACAAUGACAGAAGACACCCUGCCGGUCCAGAAGAGGGAUGUUUCCAAGGUUACAGGGAACCCCUUCUUUGCUGGGUGCUCCUGGAUAGAGGCAAAGGCUAGGUUCAGGGUUUCAACUUUGAAUGACAUAGGUUGUGAGGAGGUCCCCAAAUCAGGCAAGAUAAACAAAGGUACAGUUUCAAACAGGGGUGAUGACUGAGCAUCCUUAAAAUGUCAACUGCCUCCUUACUUCUGAGUAGACAUGAUUGCACUUACAUUUUACAUUGACUCACUUCAGACAUAAUGAUUUUGGUUCAACAAGACCAAAGUUUGUAUUGUUGCAUUUGCACCAAGGUAAAAUAUGUAAGCUAGGAUGUUGUUUUAGGCCAUGGAUAUAGAGUUCCAUUCCGGUGGUCAACCCAUAAAUCACUGCUUUUGGUUAGAGGUUUAUAUAUAUUUCAGUCAGAAUUUAUAAGAAAUGUAUACAAUCCUGCUGAAUCUCAGUUAACAGCAUCAAGUGUUUUACCUUCCAAAGGAGUUGUUCUCUUACCUUGUUACAGCAAAAACAAGAGUCUUGUGGCAGCUUAAAAUUAUAUCACGGAAGAUCUGCACAUUGGCCAUUUACAUCAUCAGUAACUGGUGACCACACAAUUAUCUCAGGUUUGCUUUGUUAAUUAAUUCCUGUACUUGGAAAAGAAAUCAUUUCUUGAUUCAGGCCUAAACCACCAGACUUCCUGAGAAGGACUCAUUCUGCAGUUUUUCACUGGAGUUUUCUUUUUGAAGUCGGUUGCUGAAGAACAGCAACUUUUAAAAACAUAGUACUUCUAUUUUUGGUACUAAAUAUCUAGGCAAAGGUUUAUUUUAAUACAUACUUCUUUUCAGCUCAACCAUGUACAAAAGGGUUUUUGCAAAGUAUCAAGUUGACAUCCCCUAUCAAGGAUGGUAAUUCUGAUAAUAGUUAGGAGCUAAAAACGUAAGAAAUGUUGAUGCUCUGAUGCCCCUAACCCUAAUCUAUUACUCGCUGGAGAAGCUUGCACAUUUUUCUAUACAGAAAUCUUACAGUUUCUGUCAACAGCUUUCUCCCCUCCCCAGUGCAAUUGUUCCAGAGCUUCUUCCCACACACUGACAACAGCCUGUUCCUCCUACAAACCUGUUCUUUUCAGAGCUACCACCUACCCCCCCCCACCCCUUAUAUUAUUAUUAUUUUUCUACUGUAGUUGGAAUGCAGCUAAUUUCUGUGAUAACUGCAUUGCAAAACAUAGGCUGAAUAAAAUAUACACUGAAAUAGCAGUUGCUGCCACUCUUUUGUCCUUCAUGGUGAGACUGGAUUGCUCCCAUCUUGGCAGUCGAAUUGGCAGAUGUAUUUACCAGCAAUUCCAACACAGCCUUGCCCCCAAUCCUAUGCCUCUGGCACCCUGUCUGCCAUAAACAUGUACAGAUAACACACACACACAGAGAGUCCAUAGAUGAAUGUAACCAAUUAAUUCUUUAGUCUCCCUUUUUAAACAUGGAAAAUCGAUUUAAAGAAGAUGCAAAACUGCUACAGGGGAGAAGGAAUGAAAGUGAUGUUGCAGCAGCUUCCUCACCAAUUGGGCUUAUUGGAAGGCCAGAACAAUAUUUCCCAAACUUAAAAUACAGUAAUUGUGUACCCCUUUUGAGAGUUUAGUCUUCUUCCUGGGCGAAGAUAAUUUGGGGGUAAAAUUAAAACUAGUGCUUCAAAUUCUGGUUGUAUUAACAGAUGUUAUAUUUUGCCAGGUUUUAAUUAGUAGAUACCAAUUAGUAGAUAGGAACCACAUUUACUCCUCUGCUGUGACAGUGAGUAUAUUAAUUGCCUUUUGGAGCUUUUCCUGUGACAUGUGACAUCAGAAACAAAUUGCUGGGGAAGAGUUCUGUGUAACUCAAAAGGUUUGCAAUCUCCUUUAGUGAUGAUCCAACCAUUUUAACCUUCUUGGUACCUUCUUCCUCCAUUUCUGGAAUGUGUGGAACUAACUGUCUAAAAGAGUUAUUACAACGGAUAAAAUAUGGCAAUAUUUCUAGCUGCAUUUCUUUCUUGGCAUCGGCCCUGAGAACAGAGUAUAUGUUAGUGGUAUCUUUGAAGGCAAUUACUACAGAAAAUGUUAAUUGGCAAAAUAUUUUGAUGGGGCACAAAUCUCAUAGUUACAGUGCAGCAUAUGAGGAAAUGUCCCAAAGGGUUUUCCAGGUGUUUACUGCCCGGGAGUGCUGCUCAGCAGGUAUGCAUCUUAUUAAAAUUUCAUAACAUUUCAUGACCUUUCUUGGUACAUGGCUCAUGAAUCUUAUACAAUAACUUGCAGCAUGAGGCUUGAUCUGAAUGAUCCUAGAGAAAUAAUAUUUCCAGUGAUACCGUAACUGACAGAGAAGGAGCAAGAUGGAUCUUUUAUAUGAAAUGUAUGGAGUGUUUAUAAUAGGAAUAAUAGUGAACAAAUAACAUCUAGCAACAAAGGCAAAGAGAAAAACAACAACAAAUUCAUCAACAUGGUUCUGUUGCUCAGAAUAUUGUAUCUGCAGUUAUGAACCGUGCCCAGAACAAGGCAGUGUUCAAAAGGAAUAGUCAACUUGGUGCCACCCCCCUGUUGUUGGGCUACAACUUCCAUCAUUUGCUAUGCUGGUAGGGAACGAUGUGAGUUGUAGUCCAAAACAGCUGGAAGGCACAAUAUUGGCUACUCCUAGAGAUGCUGUUGCCCUACGAAGGGGGGAUCUUGUUUCACCGGUUCUUCAAGCCAAAGGAAGACAAACAGUGUGUGGAGAGAACUGUAAUCCUGAACACACUGACCAGUGACUAAAUUUCAUCAACCUCAAUGGAAAUUAUUUCAGAGUAAACAUGUAUAGGAUUGUGCCGUGGAUAUUUUACUGUAUUAUCAUUUUUAGAUUUAACCAGCCUUUCCCAAUCAGGUGCCUUCCAGAUAUUUUUGACUACAGCUCCAAUCUUAACUGACCAUUUGCUGAUUGGGAAUGAUGGGAGUUGUAGAUGGGAAAGGAUGUGUUAGUCUUUAGCAAGGUGCCAUACUACAUUGCUGUUUUGUCACAGUAGAGGGAAGAGGUAGCAGGGACGAUUUAAAGCUUGAAUAUGAAGAACAUGACACAGAUCUAGCCUAAUUUUGCAUUUGAGGAAAGAAUGACGUGCCAGUUAUUUUUUAGUUUCAGUUUAUCUUCAUUUACAGAGAUCUGGUGAGAAAUAAAAAUGUCAGAAUGCUCAUUUUCAUCAGUGAUCAAUACGUUAUGGGAUAUCUCAGUGUGUGCAACAAUAUGAAAAGGGGGUGGGCAACCCACCCGUUGUGCUUUGGAUCUUGGAAGGCGGAUAUAUUUUACUAACCGCCCUUGAUUCAGCCUGCGUCACUUGACUAGUAUGUGUGGGAUCACACUCAAAGCAUUUGCAAAUUUGUGUUGAGGCAGAAAGAACAGAUUUAUUUCUCUGCUGUGAGCAAUGCUAAUAGCUCUGAUUGUGGAAGACUAAAUUCACUGUGAGUAACAUGUGCACAUGACAGGAUGGAGGCACAAGACUUGAUGGGGGGGAGUUUAUUCUCGCCUUUUGUCUCUUUGGUUUGGUUUUCAAAUUUUAACAUCCUAUAUAAGAAAACCAUUAUUUUUACUAUAUUUGUAUUACCCCACCCUGAUAUCUGUUUCCUAGGUGGCUCGCAAUGUUAAAAGAAUAAACACUAUAUCAUUUUAAAGCAACACAAAGUGUGGUUUCUGGCAGAGGAAAGCCUAAAAUGCAAAUCAUAAAUUGAUACGCCCAGGUUGUAAAAAAAUACACAAGUUGUUUUAGAAACCUUUUUAGUGUUGGGAGGCCUUUGGGUCAUCUUUGCUGGCACAAGGCAACAGAUAAAAUAACAAGACGUUGGGCUAGAUCAGUGGUUUUCAACGGAUGGGUCAUGACCUCACAGCUCCCAUUGGGACUAUUGCUGUUUUAUUUUUGUUUAAAGGGUUUGAGAGGAGACAAGAAAUAUGAAAAAUAUACUACAUCACGUUGCAUACUUGAACAGGUUCACCAGUCGGUUUCAGGUUGCGUGGCUUAUCAUUUCUUGUUCUCUCCACUUUUCUCUCUCAGAAACUAUAUACAGUGGUGCCUCGCAAGACGAAAUUAAUCCGUUCCGCGAGUGUCUUCGUCUAGCGGUUUUUUUGUCUUGCGAAGCAACCCUAUUAGCGGCUUAGCGCUAUUAGCGGUUUAGCGGCUAUUAAAGGCUUAUCGGCUUAGCGGAUUAGCUGCUAAAAGGCUAUUAAAGGCUUAGCGGCUUAGAAAAAGGGGGGGAAGGGGAAAAAAAUCUCAAGACUCGCAAGACAUUUUCGUCUUGCGAAGCAAGCCCAUAGGGAAAUUCGUCCUGCGAAGCAACUCAAAAACGGAAAACCCUUUCGUCUAGCGGGUUUUCCGUCUUGCGAGGCAUUCGUCUUGCGGGGCACCACUGUACCUGGAGGCAGAAUUUUAAAAAUAUAGUAAUGCUCUACCUUGAUAUUUAUUAAUCACUUUUUUUACAAAAGUGACCCAGAGUGACUUAGAAACACGCUACAACCAAGUGCAAAAACAAUCAAUAAAACACUUUAAAAACCCUUAACAGUUUAUUCUUAUUCAGUUACAAAAGGAAAUUUACUCUCUCUUUUUUUAGCAUACUGCUGUUGAUCUUGUUCUUUUCUUUUUUGUGGGGAACUGUUGGACUUUUGUUUUUACGUUUUGCAAGAUGGCCAGGGGAUUUCCCCCUAAGAUCUCAAGCUAGAAAACAAAUGUUCUGAUCUAAAUUCUGCUCAGAUGUUUGCUGUGAUCCCUCUUCAUAAAAGAAAUGUACAAACAGUCUUGAACACAGAUGGCUGUGGCUUUCACAGAUGGUGACUGCCUUGAGCUGAUGUUAAGAAUUUGAGCCACUUGGCUGAUGACUCUGCUCUUAUUUGUCUGACUAGCCCAAACCACUUAUGGAGUUGCAGAAAACCAUAUCUAUGCACACACAUGCUUGACCACACACAUACAGGGUGUAGGGAACCUAUGGGGAUAUAUAUAUGGCUCAUUUUGUAGGAAUACAGAAGGGACAUUUUCUCCUUUGGAAUACAGAUAAUAAGAGUAUAAUGAAAUUCAGUUUUUUGUCCAUUAGUGAGUGGAACAGAAUGACUUACAACAGAAAACUGGAGGGAGAUUGAAUGCACAUUCAGGCCACAUCUAAUCUAUCUGGAACUGUGUACUUGUACUAAAAUAAAUAAAUAAUAAAAUUCAGUACUGAGGAAGAUACUGUGCCAAGAGAAUCUGAAUUCUAUCAUCUGUAUAGAUUUGUAUUUUCUUCUUGUUGUUGUUUUUCCCCUUUGCCAGUCAUGGGAAGGGGACAGAGUACUAUGAAGGGCACUGAGGAAGUCCUGAUGACUGAAAUUAUACUCCUCAGACUUUUGGGAUUGUAGCGUACCUUUGGAGCCAUAAGGCCCCAACACUGCUUUUUUCUAAAAUGAAAUCAGAGAUAAGAAAGAGAGCAGCCUAUGCCAUAUUCAGCAGCAUGCACACCUAGCCCUGGGGUUUCUACCUCUGGCAUGCCAUUCAGAUCCCAACAGGGCGCACUUGCAGAACUAGCACAGUCUGUGCCACCAUCACAACUGAUUUUGCACAGUGUACUUGGCACUGGAGGAAGAAUGGGGGCAGGGGGAGCGCACCACCCCCAGCACCAUCAGGGAGGGGUACCAUCGCGGCCACCCCCUGACACAUGUCAUGCACCACCCCCACCGCACCAGGCACCAUGCCCCUGUGGGCGGCAUGCCACACCCCCAGGAUGCACACCACGCCCCCUGGAUGUGUGCCAGCCACACACACACCUGCUCUCCGCCCCUGGUGCUGGAGCGUGCAUCUUCGCCACUGGUACUUGGGGCUGUCCUGGGAAAAUGCUGGUGGCCUGUCCAGUUUAUCUCCACCAAACCCAGAAUAGCCCAUGUACACUUAGCACUAAUAAAUGACUGAACUGACGAUCAGUCUGUUAAAGGCUCUGAAUAUAGACAUAUAUUGAAGAUUCACCUUGGCUUCUUAAAAAGGUUAUUCUCUGGUACGGAUGAUGACCAGUUUGCACAGGGGGUUCCAUCCCUGGCCCCUGUGUGUGUCAGUGGAGUGUGCAUGAGUGUGUCCCACCCCGUUCUGCCCUGAUUCUGUUCCAGCCCUGUUCUUCCCUCUUCUGGGUCCAAAAAACCUGGUGAUCGUGCAACAUUUCGACGCGCCUAAAAUGGCCUUCACCUGUACUUAAUAUCUAGACACCUUGUAUGCAUCCUUCCAGCAACUCCUGCAGCCAAGCUGGUGCCAAACAUACUACUCUGCUUUCCUUUGGAUUACACAAGUGAGGCCAAGAGAAGGGUCUUGUAUCAUGUCAGUGUAUCAUGUCAUGUUCUGGAUCAUUGCUAGACCCUGUCACUCACAAAUGUGGAGUAUUGCCCUCAGGCUUUUUUCUGACUACCUAUUUCUGGGGAUAAACAACAGGGAGGUAUUCUUGCCCUUGUGCCCUGCUUCUAAGCUUCCUGGAGGACUGUGGCUUGCUUCUCUUCCAAACAGAGUGCUAAACUAGAUGGAUGUAAGUGGCUUUCCAAGGCCACAAAUAGAUAAAAGGCAAAAAUCAGAUCUGAGUCCCCAAAUGCUAAAUGAAUCUACCAAACCAAUAUUUAAUUGCUACAAAACAAAAAAAGUAAUUCAUUUUCCACCCUGCCGUUGUCUGAAAUAAGUUUUCCUUUAAUUUAUUAACUCCUCAUAUUUAUUUCCCCCACAAUUUAUCCCCUGCAUGCAAUUGAUUUCCCCUUCAGUUAAUAGCGAAACAAGUCACAAACUAUCAAGCAAUGCAGGCCCGGUUCUUCUUGCAGGAGACAGGCAGUGCCAAGCCAAUUACAGUGGUUGUUAAUAAAACAUUAUUAGAUUAGCUUUUUGCAAUAGGAAAUAAAAAUAUAAAGUGCUGCAAUAUUUAAUAAUUCAAUUUGCCAUAAUUUUGCCAGUUUCUGGGAAGCCCACAGAAAUAUAGGAAUCGGCUCAGUUUAUCCCUCUAGCAACUGGUAUUCAGGGGUGCACUGCUACUCAACAUGGAGGGUCAAUUUUGCUAUCACUCAUAGCCAAUAGGCAUUGAUUAAUCUCUGCGCCACAAAUUUAUUUAACCCAAUCUCCCUUUCCUCCACACUGCAGCUGCAAUGACAGCAGCUUCCAGCUAGAUCUUGUGCACUGCAAGAUCUCACAGGAAUCUGCUACCGCUGCCAGUGCUUCUUUUCCCACCGGAGGAGAUGGGGAUGUGUACCCAUAGGGGGGCUGCCUCUUGGGCUUCCAGCCUGCCUCAUGGGUGGGGGCAGCCCUGGAUUUUCCCUUCCCCAAACACCAUGUACUGGCAAGUCUAUUAGAGAAACAGAUUCUUUUAAUAGGAUCCUUGCUUGUUUAAGUAAAAAAAAAAAAGUUCAUGACAUGACAAUUAAUGUCUCUGAGAAUUUUGAUUUCAUAUAUUGGAAGAAAUUCGAUGUCGUGCUAAGCUAAAAGCCCCUUCGCAGAAUGGCCUGUGCAAGAGAAGCCGCAGGAAUGCGCUUGAUGUGGAUUGCCCCAGUACUUCCCAUUGCACAACAGACUUUUGCUAGUUCAACUGUUGUGCUGGAUUUCACAUUGCACAACCAUUAUUCUCACCCUUACGCUAUAGCACAACAGCUCUUGUUCUGACAGUCAGGGAACGUAGAAUCCAGGCCAAUGUUCAAUGUUCAAAAUAAAAUCCUUAGUGUACAUAUUUGGAUUGCCUUUAGCACUUGGUACUUUAUUCCAAAAGAAAAGAUGGCCUCCAAAAGUAGCUUUGCAUUUCCACUUUGGAAUCAGGCUUAUCCCUGGCAAGGCAGCCAAGCAUUGCAAUAAUUGUUAGGUGUGAACAUAGCAGAUACGUUGUGUCACUAUUUUGCAGCCCAUUGGAGUAUGGAAAACUUCAGUACAAAUUAGACACCAUCUCUUUUCAUUUAAUAGAUUUGUUCCUCGGACAAGGUGCUGUUUUUGAACGUUAACUCUUUAUGUGUGGUUUGUUGACGGAGUACACAGUUUCAUUGCGGGAAACAGAUUAUUCAGACCUGCAAGAUCCCACUGAAAUUUAUCCCUAUAGUUUGAGCAGCGAGCUAUAUACUCCUCCAUGGAAUCUGAGAGGCUUGUUGUGCAUGUCUCCAGCCCUGAUAUAUUAGUGUGGUUUCCAUGUACCUGCAAAGAUAACGCAAACUUCAGUUUGAAUUUUCACUGGGGAAAAUCAAUUAUUUAGUUUCAAUAACCACAUUAUGCUCUAGAGAGCCAACAUAUUCACUCAGUGUUUUAUCUGAGCAAAAUAUCAUUGAAUUUGGUCCUACGAUAUGCUAAUAAUUCAAUAUGCAUUAUUUUGUUAUCUAGCCAGUGAAAAUUAUUUUAAAAUGAUGAAUAUAUCAUUCUAUUCAUCUUUCAUUUCCAUCCUUUUCCUGCUUUCAAUAACAUUUUUUUUUAUAAAACUUACACAAUUUCUUUUUUUGAUUAUUUCUUGGGAACAUGAACUUGAUGGUCCUAUAAGAAAUCUAAGAUAUGGGCACCAUUUGGCUGCCAGCUAAGCUGAUUUGACAGUAAUACAAGUAACCACAUUUUUUUCCAUUAGGAAGAACAGUCAGCCAUGUCUAUUCCAUCUGUUCCAAGUGCUUUUGCAGAAAAAAAGAUCCCCUGGCCGUACAAAUAAUGCAAAAUUGACUCGUAGGUGGAAGUGACUUUCAUUAAGUCAUAACCCAAACCUCUGCAUUAGAAAUUAUUGCAAGAGAUGGGAAGACAAAUCAAACACUUAUCUCAGUAAAUGGCUUUACAAAGGUGUGUCCCUGCUUCACAUAAGAAAUAAGAUUUAGGUAGGAUACAAUGUGUUCUAGCACCAGCCAAUUAAAUUUAGGCUAUUGUGUAAGAAAGCAGCAGCGAUCUAAUUGGUGGGAUACGACUGCAGAAUCCUUCAGUCUUGUCAGCAUUUCUAAAGUCAGUUAAAUUUCAUGAGCUAGUGUGACGUAGCCUGUUUGCGUGCUGAGGUCCCCCAAAACACCCCUACCCCAAUAACUCAUAAUUUUUGUUUAAGGUUUUUGGCAUAAUUUUGGCCACAACUUUAUUGAACAUACAAAUUGUGAGUGGUUGCUUAGGCAUUGGUUAUGACUAUCUGUCCCCCCCCCCCCCCCGCCUUGGGGACAGCACUGACUCCCGGAUUCCAGCGAAAGCCAGUGUGGAGGAACAAGAUCAGGGAUAACUGGAGCUGCGGCACAGACCCUCAGCUUCUCCCCGCAUGCUCCCAGGGGCUUAAGCGGCCCAAACCCAAUUCCAGGUGUUUGGACGAAAGGAUGGUCAGCCCCUGAAUUCCUUUAACGGAAUUCCCGUGCAGCAGCAGCAUUGGAGGGGCAGGCACAGCCAAUCCAUACCCCUCCACCAACCAAUUUAAACCAGUGCCUAACCGCCAACCUUACAAGUUGUGACGAUUUGCUACGCAGUAGGCAAAAACCAAAUGGCACACACUAAUCAGCCAAAUGGAAAAAUUCCUACCAGGCCCCUGCACCAAGGCAGACGACCCCAUGACAGGCAUAGCAAGGUCAAAGCACAAGCCCAAAACAAGGGAGGGAGGGCGGGUGAUCCGGUGCCCACAGCAAAAGAGAAAGCAGAUUGCUGUGAGCAUUGCUUAAAUAACCUCUGUUGCCACCUCCAAAUUGGCAACAUCAAUUUCACCCCAGCAACACCAUCCACCAAUCCGAGCCGGGCCCCUUCAACCUAUCCUGCCUGGCAACUACGGGGUGUCUUGCCUGGCCCCAUCCGCAACACACGCUCUCCUUUAAUUGAGAACACGCUAUAUUGAAUCCAGGAUACUACAACAACUUCCUUGUCCAAGCCAUGUGCUUUGACGCCCACCUGUUAAUUUUCUAACAGGUAUCUGCUCAGAGACAUAAAUUAUACAGUGUUGUGUUAAAAGUGUUAAAAAUAAAAUAGACUGCACUCCUUCCUAAAUAUUUCACAUGCUGUAAACGAUACUUUGUUGGGUUUUAAAUAACCAAACAGCUGUCCUUUUUUAAAAGCUACCUCCCUGUAGGAUAUAACUGAGGUAUCUGUCUGUUGGUAGCAAAAUGACGAGAGAAAGAGAGUCUACCUUGAGCUCUGAAUUGACACUUUACUCCAGAUAUUAUAGAAAAAUAUUUGCAAAGAGUGGAAAGAGCUAUGUUUGAAUUCUGUGAUAUAUUUUAAAAGGUGAUGAGCAUUGCAUAUAUAUAUAUAUAUAUAUAUAUAUAUAUAUAUAUAUAUAUGGCUGCACUCCUAAACACAUUUGCCAGGACAUUCAUUAAGUACAGUGGAACCAACUUCCACUGUAUGUUGUUGUUGUUUAGUCGUUUAGUCGUGUCCGACUCUUCGUGACCCCAUGGACCAGAGCACGCCAGGCACUUCUGUCUUCUACUGCCUCCCGCAGUUUGGUCAGACUCAUGCUGGUAGCUUCAAGAACACCAUCCAACUAUCUCAUUCUCUGUCGUCCCCUUCUCCUUGUGCCCUCCAUCUUUCCCAACAUCAGGGUCUUUUCCAGGGAGUCUUCUCUUCUCAUGAGGUGGCCAAAGUAUUGGAGCCUCAGCUUCAGGAUCUGUCCUUCCAGUGAGCACUCAGGGCUGAUUUCCUUCAGAAUAGAGAGGUUUGAUCUUCUUGCAGUCCAUGGGACUCUCAAGAGUCUCCUCCAGCACCAUAAUUCAAAAGCAUCAAUUCUUCGGCGAUCAGCCUUCUUUAUGGUCCAGCUCUCACUUCCAUACAUCACUACUGGGAAAACCAUGGCUUUUACUAUACGGACCUUUGUUGGCAAGGUGAUGUCUCUGCUUUUUAAGAUGUUGUCUAGGUUUGCCAUCGCCUUUCUCCCAAGGAGCAGGCGUCUUUUAAUUUCGUGACUGCUGUAUAGCUCUGCACUAAGUUCAUAUUUUACCUAGUCUUUUGUUUGAGCAGUUCCUCUAUAUGUGCACAUAAACACAUACAUACACUGCAUAUUGGUAUAUUUAUUUAAAGGUGCUGUAAAGCGUGUGUCUAACCCUACACUGUGACUGUAGUAGAUUGGGAAGAAAAACCUACAUCGCUGAGCACUUUCAUUAUAUGAAUUUUAUCUGUAGCGAUACAUCAAUGCAUAUAUAUAUAUAUAUAUAUAUAUAUAUAUAUAUAUAUAUAUAUGUAAGAUUGCCAUCAUGCUGAUGUUUGCUUGGCCAGAGAUCGGUUCUGCUGCUGCAAACUACAGUGUGGUGGGCAGCCAAGACAAGCCAUGGAGGGACAGCCAGAACAGGCUGCAGCAGUCCCCCAGCUCCACGGGUUCCUCCACCUGCUUGGGUUGCCUGCCUUCAGAAUCCAGAUCUCUACAUUGGCCAGUGUUGCUCCUUGAAAGCUGCUUCUGCCCUGGCCAGCUUAGGGAUCCGCUGUUCCUGCCCCUGCCUCUACCUGGACAAUUUGUUGAAGAGCACUGCAUAAAGAAGAAAUGUGGCUUGGAGUGGUAAUCCACUGCUGUAGCCGCUGAGACUGAUCCAUAGGCCACCCAACUGCACUGCUGCUCCUGCCAGGUCCAUCUCCACUGCUUGGCUGUGCCAUGAGAUGGAAAGGAGGCAGCUGAAGACUUCUUCCCCCAACUUCUCCUUUGACCUCUAACAUCAGGGGGGAAGGAGAAGCGGGAGGACAAUGGCAAAAGGUUGGAAGCAUCAGUGUGGGCAGGCUUUGCAAAAGCUCUGAUAGUUGGUAUUUUGACAGGUAGGUGGAGCAAACCAUCUGUCAGCCAUGGGGCACCAUGUGCCACUCCCACCUGUCAAAAUCCCAGUGUCAGAGGUUUCGCAAAGCCCGCCCACACUGAUCCUUUCAAGCUUUUGCAUUUGUCCCUCUGCUGCAACUUCCUCCCUGACAUUGGAGGUCAAAGCAACUACAAAAAGGCAACUAUGGAUCAUGUGUUUCAGAUGUGUUACAGUAUUGCUUGUGCUGUGGUGUGUGAGAGACAGAGCGGGUGGGGAGGGAAAUUAGAUGGGCACACAGGUUGAUACUAGGGUCGGCUAGACCCAGGUUGGUAAGGCAAAUUUUCAGAUCUUUAAUCAUUCAGGGCUGAAAGGUGGGGUUGAUUUCUGCUGCUCUGCCUUGGGAAGUCCACUGACAGCCUACCCCUUUCUGCCACUGUAGAAAGAGGUCUGCAGCUUACCAUGGCCCCUUAGCCACUGCCCCCGGGAGCAUAGGGUUGCUCCCUUAGUUUAGUGUUUGAAAUGCGCCAAGCUCCAGGAGCAUUUUGUACCUAGCUAUUGGCCACUUGCGACCAAGUGAAGAUGUCCGGGUGUGAGGAUGGCGCAAGACGUCUCCACCAUUUGGAGGUGCAUGCCUGGAGAUCCGUGGAACUUGACUGUUUACACACACACACAUACCACAUCCUGUAGAAUUCUAUCCAUUAUAUUUUGUCUGCACAAUCAGAAUGAAUUUCAGAAACCAAAAAGUCAUAUUGAUAAAUAUAAUUUUAGAACCGUCUGGCCCCAAAAUGGCAACUAGGCAUUCCAUUUUGGCAUCUGUAACCCUGGGUUAAGGAGCCAUUUGGCACCAAGCUUAUAUAUCUGAGUUUCUAAUUCUGCCUUAGUUAUAUUUUGAAUGUUUAUUUCCUGCUGCACUUACUUGAUUUGUUCCGAAGUCUAUCACAUGUGAAUUUUAGAAGGAAAAUUGAGACUUCUUUUGUUUCAUUUUGCUUUUAAUCUGCCCUGAGUUUUUAGCUCACUCCUAUGGUUCUAUAUUAUUUCAGAUUGACACAUUCUUGUGUUCUUGCUGCUUUUCUUUAAAAAAUACUUUUAUGCUCUUGACUUUUUUGUAUUGAUUGUGAUGUAGCAUUGAUUGUGGCAUUGUUUACACUGAAAUACUUUUCUGUGUUUCUGGGCUGAAAGGUGAGGCAGAUUUUAAGAAGUAAAGAAAUGGUAAAUUAAUAUGGAACUUCUGGACUGGAAGAGUGGUAUACUAUGAAAAUCUUUAGGGAAUUCUCAUAGUGUACUGAUAUUUUCCUGUGAAAAAGUUACUGUACCAAUCAGUACCCUGUGUUUUGGCUACCAAGGGAGUGCUAAUCUUCAGCAAAUUUUAUUUUAAUUUUCUGUCUCCUCUAGACAUUUGGGUUGGAGCACUGCAAUGUUACUGAAUAAGCAAAGAAAUAAGCAAGUAGGGAUUUCAGGCUAGACUAAUUCUGUGAAAUCUUAUUUCAGUAAAGGUUCCUUUUUGGAACAUAAAGUUCAGGGCUGCAAAUCAUGAGACCUUUGAAAUAUGCUAUCCUCAUAGAAGAAUACUUGUGCUUUUCUUUAUCAUGUUUUGAUUUCCAAAUAAAUCCCAGCCUCAUCUGACUUCUUCAUUGUCCCUAAGGGAAAUUAAUCAACAAAAUGCAAUCAUAGUCUAUUUCGAGAAAUUAAACAAGGCCUGUGUGCAAGAUAUAAAGGCUGCUCUGUGUACCCUUAGAGCAGCCAUACAUAGGUAAUGAUUUCAAGCACUCUCUGUGUGGCAAUCCCAACUUAUAAACCAGCCACAUAGAUUUUCAGCACUUACCACAAUAGUGGUAACAGCAGUGGAUGGAUUACUGUUAGGGAUGGAGGUGUGGAAUGGUAAUGAAUGUACAAACUGAAAAAUUAAAUGUAUGUUGAUAUUGAUUUACCAGGGUCACAGUAACCUUGGGAACCUUUCUUGAAAGAUCUGUAGCUCACUUUUGAGAAUUCAAAGGUAUCAGUAGGGUACUUUAUCUGAUGAAAGACCUUUUCUUUAUUUUCACAACACAUUGAUAUAACUUGCUUUUAUUGCCUUGGCUUGAAAAUUGGAACACACAAAGGCUGCUGUAGAGAUAAUAUUCUCUAGUGUUUGAGAAGUUAAUUGUGUUUAUCUCUGGCAGAAUUUUCCUUUGGACUCCCAUUGCCCUUUUUAAAUAAGCUCACGAUAGAGUUCAUAGAAUCAUAGAAUUGUGUAGUUGGAAGGGGUACCAAGGGUCAUCUAGUCCAACCCCCUGAUGCGAGCUGGAAUCCAACAACAUUAGGAGCGGCAAAGAUCCUGAUUUAGUCACUGCACUGCCCCAACAUCUUCACAGCUGUUAUCGCUUUCUGGAUGUCUGGCCUAGCUAGAUUUGGUGACAGGAUUUAAGAGUUCGCACCACUGUUAUGAAUUAGCAUUGCUAUAAAAGGAGGACUGAUCCAACCAAUUCCGGCAAUGGCACACCAUAAUUAUUUAGGGCAUGUUACUAGAAGAGAGGGGCAGAAUACACAUUUUUCACUGUUUCCUGGUUCACAACGAAUAUUGAAACAAAAACUGAGGCCAUGAGACACAUUAUAGACACAUGGUGUUGUUGUGUGCCUAGUCUUAGAGACAACUGAACAUGGUGUGGCCUUCUCUGAGGGGACCAGGCAUCCGCUACCACUGACCCAACAGAGUCAUUUAAGGAGGCAGAGGUGGUCUGAUUCCACCUGCAGAAUCCCAGAUACUUUUGGGUACGUAUACAUUUCCCAUAAUGCGGCUGCUUUUAUGAAAAUGCUGAGUACUGCACAGGAGGGAUUAGGCCUCCUUCACAAUCCCCAGAUUAUCCGUCUCUGCUAUGCAGGCGCAGCCUGUCUGGCAGUGUGUCCCUGGCAUACAUCAGGGUCAGCAGUUGUCUUAAAAAUUGGAUCCAUUUUGCCCUUCAGCAGACUCUGCAAGUGCCUGUCUGGAUCCUGAUUGGGACCUUAGGGAAGGGCAGGUUCCUAACGCUACUAGCCAAAUAAUCUGGAUAAAUUUGGAUUUCAGUGACAUUCAUAAUUACUACUGCCGAGUAAACCCCGAGUUCAGAGUAAGAAGAUUAAAGUAUCAAAAUAUAUUCCUUGGUUGCUCUAUUUUUACAAAUUAACCCACCCACUGAUGUUCAGUAUGCAAACUGCCAUUUCCCUGUAAUCAAUGCUUCAAUAAUUUAUCAUGUAAAUGCAUGCAGUUUUCUCAUUCCUGAGAAUAGGCUUAAAGGUGUGAGGUUCAUUGUAUCUAAUUUGGAACCAUUUUAAUACAUUGCUGCUGCCACUAUUUUCAGCUGAGAAGGUAUCUUCAGAUAUAUCACUGUGUUUCAUUCGUGAGGCAAGAGGUGUCACACAACAAUAGGCAUUGGAUUUGAUUCAGAUGGGAUAAAAUCUAAAACUGGAGCUUCUCUGUGUUUAAACUGUGCUAUAAGACGUAAACAGGUCCCCAGUCUUUGCUGGGGCACUUCACACAGGUAUUCUGAAAAUCCUGAGCUGCAUCACUGGAAAUCUAGGGGGGCGGGGAAGAGAUCUUGUAUUCCAGAGAUACAGCAAUUAUUCACACUAUCAGUUUUUUCCACAGCUCCUGUGAUGAUAUACCAGAACAGUUUCCAGUCUUCCUUUAUUGUAGCCAUGAUCAGAGUUCCCCACCACCAACUUGGUGGUUUUUUUUCCUAGUAAGAUUUUUGUUUUUGUUUUUCUUUAGUUGAACAUAAGCGUAAGAUAGCUCUCUAGUUUCAGAUCCUCUAUAUUGCUUAUAAGAUUCUUGUCGCUUUUUCUCUUUAGCUUGACACCAUUUCUUUCAGGUCAACUGUUUGCUCUUUUUAAAGGGGAAAAGUUCUUCAUUUAUGCAACUGAUAGCCAGAUAAUUGUGAAAAAAACUGUUUUUAAAGUAUCACAGGCUUGUAAUCCAUUUGCUUUCUGCUCUUAGGGAAAGGUUCACACAGUGCUUUUCAUGUAACAAAAAGUGAUUUAAGCCUCAACUGUAGUAAGGGUCGAUGGCUGCUAAAAAUCUGAAAGCCUAUCAGGAAAUUUACAUCACUAGGUUCUAAUGAGUGGGAGGUCAGUAUCAAUCCCAGAGAGUUUAAUGGGUCUUUCUCCCAAGCAAAACAUCUAGCUUUGCAGCCUUAUCUAUUAUAUUUUAAAGAUGUUCCAAAUGCAAAAAGACAGUAUAUUGUGCCAGGGAAAGUUUAUUUGGGAGAGAUAGCACCAAAAAAUAUCCUGGUGUUAAGAUUUUCUUCUCUUUUGUGCAAAAGACAUAGUCCUCUUGCUUUAGCAUCAAAAUGGAACUGUAUCUCCCAAGUCCCGCACUGUGCUGAAGGAGGAUUUAACGGAAAGAGAGGCAAGGCAUCUGCCUGUAAUUAUUCUAUUAAUUAUGCCUGGAUGUUCAGUUAUUCAGUUAAUGAGAAAAUUACCCCUUGCUUUAGGGCUCACUUACUCACUGGCCCAUCACCACCUUGUGGGUGGAGUAUUCUGCCACUGUUACAUAGGCUGAAAGCCUGCAGCCAAGAAUUGGCUGGUUGAUUCAGAUCAAUAGGUGACAUUCUUUCCUUGCCACCACCAGUGUGGUUUGGUUUGCCUGUUUUAACUCCGUAGGCCUAGAGACUCUGGAAAUUGGCAAGGAUACUUAGCACUUUGGAGGACCAUUUUGGAUACUGAGUCUUCUUCUUCUUCUUCUUUUCAAAUUUUUUUUAUUUAUUUUAUAACACAAAUAAAAAACACACAGAAAAGACAAACAAUACAAACAAAUUCUUGUCAUAUCCUUAUUUUUCUAAACAUUGUUAAGUGGGCUUCCGCAAUUCCCACCUAUCUGAUUUUCAUUUUACUUCAUCUUUAGCAGUUUAGAUAUAUCAUAAUUUCUAACCAUCUUUUUUAUUCACACUUACUUUAACCAUAAAAAACUUCACAUUUUAUCACUUAUAAAAUAGACUAUCUUCUACUUCUAACCCUUCCGCCUAUAUCCACUUCCAAAGCUAUUCUAAGAUUUAAAUAUUAACAUAUUUUUCCAAAUAUUCCUUAAACCUCUUCCAAUCUUCUUCCACUGUCUCUUCUCUCUGGUCUCAGAGUCUCCCGGUCAGUUUGGCAAGUUCCAUAUAGUCCAUCAUCUUCAUUUGCCAUUCUUUGAUAGUUGGUAAAUCUUGUUUCUUCCAAUUCUUUGCUAGCAAUAUUCUUGCAGCUGUUGUGGCAUACAGAAAAAAAGUAACAUCUUUUUUGGAGAUUUCACCCCCCCAUACCAAGUAAAAAGGCUUCUGGUUUUUUAAUAAAUGUGUUUUUCAACACUUUUUUCAAUUCAUUAUAAAUCCUUUCCCAGAAGUCUUUUACCUUGGGGCACAUCCACCUCAUGUGGUAAAAGAUUUCUUCUUUUUCUUUACAUUUCCAGCAUUUAUUAUCAUGAGUAUGAUAUAUUUUUGCUAACUUCACUGGUGUUAAAUACCAUCUGUACAUCAUUUUCAUCAGAUUUUCUCUUAAUACAUUACAAGCUGUAAAUUGGAUUCCUUUUUUCCACAAUUUCUCCCAGUCCUCCAUCAUGAUAUUGUGCCCCACAUCCCCUUCUUCUUCUUCUUCUUCUUCUUCUUAAAAUUUGUAGACCGCCCUUAAUCUGAAGAUCACAGGGCCGUUCACAACAUAAAAAGACACGAUGAAAACACAAAAUACAUAAUAAAAACAAAAACAAACUAAUAACUCCCCUCCCACAAGCAAAUUUCAAAGGCCGUAGUAUCUGGUUAUAGAGAAGCAUUUCGGCUAGUGCCUAAAGAUACCAGGCGAGCCUCCCUGGGGAGAGCAUUCCACAAUUGGGGAAGGGCCUAAAAAAAGGGGCCAUUCCCAUGUUGCUACCCUCCAGAUGGCACAACGGGGAUAAAAUGGAGGCAGCAAAAUGUGCCUUCUUUGGUGCCUUCACUGCCACUGGGUUGGCUCCAUGAUGGCUCAACCAGUUUAGAUGGAAGUGUGAAACUCUCUAAGGGUUGUCAAGCCACAUUGCUGCCCUGACUGUAGAAACCACAACUGGCAGAAAGGAAGCCUAUCUCCUGAUGCUGUUGCAGGAUGCAUGGGCCUAGAGAUGACCAGAUUUGGUGCCCUUUUCACUUCAAUUCAGUCAUGAGGACUUUAGAGCUACAAUCUUAAAUGGGGCUUACCCAAAAUCUCCUUCUCAGGGUCAAUAUUUCCAGAUUCUAGAAACCACCCUACCCAGCCACCAUACACUCAAAUGGUUGGAAAGCAUUAACAAGACAUAAUGAACUAAUUGGAUGUGUGUUAUGUACUCUGCUUCUUUCAGUUGGCACUGCAGAAUGUCUUUAAAUGUCAACUGCCCUAGUGUGUUUGCUUAAUGAGACGUUUUGAAUUACCUCUGCCUUUUAUGGGCGAACCAUUUUUUAAAAUAAUAUCACAGCUGUUAUCGAUUAGUGCUGAUAAGUCCCAUUUAUUUGCAGUAAAGGGGAGCGUGUUUCAGCACCAGUGAAAUCCAGAUGAUAGAGUGAUUGAAUUAAAAUUCUUUCUCCUUCCUCACAGUAAUGAAUUCUUGGUUGUAAUUACAGCUAAAAGGGAAUAUGGUAGCUAUUUCUGUAUUUCUCAAGCAUCAGGACCUGAAAUGCUGUUUAUCAAAGAUAAGCUCAGUUCAGUUAAUUUUGAAUUUUGUAGUUUCUUCAUAAUGGGCCCUGCAAGGUGUCCCUCAGGGCUAUUUGUCACUGGGUGGUAAGCCUGUGUCUUCAGAUUUCAGAUGCUCCUCCUUACAAAGACAUUGCUUGAACAUAGAAAGUAGGCAAUGCCUCUGACCUACCUUCUCCCUGACACACUCUGUAUGUGUGUGAGGGAGAUUUAUUUUUAUGAAUGGCAUAUAUUCUAAGUUAAAAAAACGCUCCUUGGCUUUUAUUUGCCAAUAGGAAAUGGUGGAAGAACACAAGGAGUUAUGAGUCCUUGAUUCAAACACUCUCUCCAUCUUCUCAGGUUCCACCCGCCAGCAGGAAAGGAGGUGGAAGUAGAAAAACUUGGAGACAUGAAGUAAUUGACCCAAAGGAGGGAAAUGACUCUCUUCUGGUUCUAAUGGCGGCCUUGGUGGGGUAGGGGGAAGGGAAGGGAAGGGAAGAUGGAACGACUAGUCUUUGGGUGGAGUCCCCAUCUUGAGAAAGGUGCCACAUAAUGCUUAUUCCACAGUUAUAAGAGAUACAUAUUUUAGUGUGGCAAGACCUACAGUUUGAAACUCCCUGCCUAUUGACAUUGGAGUUUCAUGCCUUCGCUGAACUCUUUUCAGUGACUGCUUAAAAGAUAUUUGCUUAGGCAAGCCUAUCCAGAAACGUGGAUGUUCAUGUGUUUACAUUUCUUUUACAGUUAUUUUUAAUUAUAUUUGAAUGUUUUUAAUUGCUUGUUUUAUAGAUAAUUUAAUAUUUCUUAAAAACCACUUACGUUUUAUUAGUCAAGUAGUAGAUAAAUGUUUUUGCUCCAGCUGCAACAAAACAUGUGUCUUCUGUAUCAGUCUCUACAGCCACCUUCCAACAGCUUGACUUCACCCCCAAAGGUGCACUGCUCCAUUGUCUCCCGAGACAGACAGAUGCCAACAACAAGUUAGUUAGUUAAUUAAAGGCAUAGCCAUUUCUUGUUUCUAACCAUUUGCCUUUUUCUAGCCUGUAUAUCUAUGUGAACAGAAACUGUCUGCAGCUUGUUUUUUGAGGAAGGGUGAACAAAUGGGCAAUCAGCUGUUGUUCUUAACCUCUUUGCUUGUGUGUCUCUCAUCUGCUCCCUUUCCUUCAUUCCUAGCUUUGCUUCGUCACGUUCUCUAUUAGAAAGAUGUUUCUCAUCCUUAUAAACAGACAGUCCACUUUAGUUUUAAUUACAGCCAACAAUCCCUUUCAGCAGCAGCAUCCUAAUGGCUCUUUAUACCCUAUAUGUGCAUAGAAUAAGGAAGCUCUCUUAGGGGAGAACGACCAGCCCACGUACUGCUAGACUCAGGUUCUCUGUGACUUGCUAGCAGAGCUGCUUUGGCACAGUGUGUGUGUAUAAUAGUUAAGAUACACAUGUCUUAUCCAUCUCUAUGUAUAUCAAAUAUCUAUGUAUAUAAGAAACAUGUAACCACACAUAUAUUGUAGAGGCAAUGGACAGGUUUAGCCUCCACACAUAUGGUGUACCCCUUUGCUUUCUCCCUUCAUUUAUACUUUCUUCCAUUCCAACUCUGGCCUGAUUUGCCAUGAAAAGGAGAUUCUAAAUGUUCACUUUUUAUUUACAUUAAUCAUCAUUUAGCUUUAUGUCUGAGCCCUAAAUUGUGGCUACUAUUAGCUCUGGUUAGUUGAUGCAAGCCAGCUUCUUAAACCAAGAUUUAAAGUAGGCUUGUUUCAGCUAACCAUAGUUUGUCUGGGUUCAGACAUAAUAGUAAGCUAUGGUUAGACCAAAGUAGACGCAGAAGCGUCUGAAUUCUUCCCCUGGCUGCGCUGGAGGAGGAGCAGGAAGUGUGUUAUCCUGACGCUUGCCUGGGCUUAUUCUACUAACCACAACAAAUUUAUUGUUAUAACUGAACAUGACUGACUCUCACUGAGGUUGGAUCCUGAAAUGGGAUACAGGCUCUAAUUAUGAUGGGCAACUUGCUAGCAAUGAAAAUAAAAGAACAAUGGAAAUGGCUGCAAGUACGAUAAUCAGCCAAUGCAGUUAUUCUUCUAGCACUCGACUGAUUUUGGUGCAGUUGGGAGCUCACACAUCAGCAGUACAAACUAAAAUGCAUUCAGUGGCUUGGCAUAUGGCAAAAUAAGGUCUUUAAUGGUUUUGCUUUUGCAGCACCUUUUAGGGAUGUGGUCUGACUAGAAGAUGUGACUUUGGGAUUACUUGCAGCAGGAAUGGCACUUGUUUGCGUUCUGUUUCCAAAUACGGGCAGAUAUGUCACUUACUGCUUAUCUUUCACUUGCAGCAAUAAAACCCCAAUUCACAUUUGGGAGACACAGCGUAGUAUUACCUGUUCCAGUUCUUCCUUGUAAUCUGCACAGACUUCCAGAGGGGGAAUAUAAACGACAUAAAAAGGGGCCUGGUGACGGUGAUAAGGACUAAUCAAGUUCAACACUAUGUUUCUAGUAGUGGCCAGCUGGAUACUUCUGGGAUGAAGGCAACUUCUGUCCCUUGUUUUUACACCUAGUAGUGGUAUUUAGUGCUGCACUGCCUCACUAGAAAGAAAACUUCUGCGUUAGCUAUGGCUGAUCCAUAGUUUCACUAAAUACUGAUAUAUAGGAUGGAAUGGUUGCUUCAGUAUACUAAUUUUAGCAAUUUCCAACUUCCAGCUUGGGGUGGCAUGUUCACCCACCUGUUACAAGCAGGAAGCCACUUCACUAUAUAUCAGUUGACAGAAGAAGAAGUAGUAGUUAUUUAUACCCCACCCAUCUGGCUGGGUUUCCCCAGCCACUCUGGACAGCUCCCAACCGAAUAGUAAAAACACAAUACAGCAUUAAACAUUAAAAUUUUCCCUAAACAGGGCUGCCUUCAGAUGUCUUCUAAAUGUCAGAUAGUUGUUUAUUUUUUUGACAUCUGAUGGGAGGGCUUUCCACAGGGCGGGUGCCACUACCAAGAAGGCCCUCUGCCUGGUUCCCAGUAACUUCGCAUCUCGCAGUGAGGGAACUGCCAGAAGGCCCUCAGCGCUGGACCUCAGUGUUUGGGCUGUAUACUCCUUCAGGUAUACAGGACCGAGGCCAUAUAGGGCUUUAAAGGUCAGGACUAACACUUUGAAUUGUGCUUAGAAACAUUCACUAGUUCAUUUGUGAGCGAAAACACCCAAUCUCAUGUGUGAUAUUUCUGAUUCUAGACUGUACUACAUUAAGUUUCAAGGUCUCCACACUGAAAACAAAAACAAAAACUUCUCCAUGUACAUACAAGUAUGUAACGUUCUAACCUUUGAAAUGAGAGGCUUUUAUAUGCAUGCAAGCAGUUUGAAACAGCAAAAUUCGCACUUUAUGAGCUUAUCUAGUAAGUUUCAAGGAGGAUAUAUAAUUAUGAAUAAGUACUGUACUUUUACACUGAAGUAAUUUAUAUUUACUUACUACUUGCGUUUCUUUAUAACAAGAGGUAAUUCGCAUAUCUCCUCUGCCCUCAAGGUCUUCAAUGCCAAAGUUAUAGCUCAAUUGCUCUAUGGAAUUCCAGUCUGGCUGCCAGGGUUUACCCAGCUGGUAGAACGAUUGCAGGCAGCUUUCCUUUUUAAGAUUUUUGCUGUCCCACGUUGUGUACCCUAUGCAGCCUUGUGUCUAGAGGGAGGUCAACACAAGGUAGAGACUGUAGCCUGGGCGAGUUUUCUUACAUGCUCGUUAAACAUCUGCCUCGCAACAGAUAAAGAUCCUCUCCUUAGUGAAGUUUUGCUAGAUCCCUUUCUUUCCCCAGGACUACAACGGUUUAACAUAAAGGUACAGCAACUUGGGCUGUCAGUGGAAUCUUUGUGAUCGAUGUCCCCACCACCUGCCAAGGCUAUAAUAAAAACUAGGUUGUGGGACAUUGAACGCCAGGAACUAACAGCAGCAGCAGAGAAAACAUGCUCCCCUCUUAACUUUCAACUUUCUUGGGCACAUGAAAUUAACCACAAUUAUCUCAAAUUUUUGCUUAAUCCUCAAGAAAGAAGGGCAUUUUCGCUGGCCAGGUUUAAUUCAAAUCGUUCCAACCUCCUAUGGGGAAGGUUCUUGGGAAUGGUGGAAGGAGAAAGAAUUUGCCCAUGUGAAGACCAUCAGGUGGAAACUCUUACACAUAUGGCUCUUAAAUGUAAACUAUAUGUUGAUCUCCGCCAGCAGUUCCUAGAUCUACUCUGCAUCCCCAAGUGGAAACCAGAGUUAGAGGUCAUACAUUUUCUAUUACUGGGGAAUAAUCAGGAGCUCACCAAGUUAGUGGCUAAAUAUCUUUAUCUGGUUUUUUGUCAUCAAAACACAUUGCUGAUGUCUGAUCUCCCUGGAGACCUAGAGAUGUAAUGUUAGACUGCUUUGCCUCUUUCAUUUGACAAAUGUUUUGUGUCACUGGGAAGGUGGGAAUUCUGUAUUGAUUUGCUAUGGAUGUUUGUAUGUGAUGCCAAUAAAAGGUUUGAUGAUGAUGGUAUUAGAGCCUCUUCACUUUUGCCAUCUUAGAGUGAAGAGAAUCAAGGCAAUAAUUUUUUAAAAAAUCAACCGUUUUAUUAAUUCUGAAAAGAAUACAACAUAGUUCGAACUGAAUUCCCUGCGGUUGAGACUGAAAUCUAGUUGACAUCUUUCUGCCUCUGAAAUGCGCAGGGAACAUUAUUCUGACAAUGCUCUUAUAAUCAUCCUUUGUUUGUGUCGUUUCAAAACGCUAGGUGCAACGACAGAUUUAGCUCUCAUAGUCGUCUUCAGGUUUUGGCUACUUUAUGAGACAUUGUCAACUACCACAUCCGAUUCUGUUUAGAGUUUUGGUAUUUUGAAAUGUUUUGUUUAGAAUCGUAAUUUUGACAUACCGUAAGUCAAAACUAUCUCAGGGGUAGUUUGAUGUUGAGACCUUGGUGCACUCCAGAAUUCGGCACUCCAGGAGCUAAAAAGGAUGAUAAAGAUAUCAAUAGUCAAUUUUAUUUAAUCAAAAAGGAAAUUAGCAUAAUCAUUGAGAAUGCUAUACAACAUUGACAUCUAUAUGUAGGAUACUUGAUUUUUGUCAAGCAGGUGAAAGCAAGUGUCUUCCAGAGGAUAGGGCAUUAUUGAAUGGAAUAUGUUAGUUUUUGAACCCAUCAGAAGUAUCUAGACUGUGCCACUGGUUCACUACAUCAUUGUGGAAAACAGUAACAAUAUAUGUGUCCUUAUUUUCAUUGCAUAAACAUUGGAAGACAUCUGUCACUCAUUUGCAUUAGGAAAUAUUGCCCAAUAUUGAUGGGAUGUGUUAAAUAGUUGUAGCAGCACACCACAACCAAGUUAGGUAGCAUGUUAUAUUAGAAUCAUAGAAUUGUAGAGUUAGGAGGGACCCUGGGGGUCAUCUAGUCCAACCUCCUGCAAUGCAGGAAUCUUAGCUAAAGCAUCCAGGACAGAUGGCCACCCAACCUCUGCUUAAAAACCUCCAAGGAAGGAGAGUCCACAACCUAGGAUUUCAGUUUGCCAAUUAAUUGUUGUCCAUUUGUGAUUAGAAUAUUUGGCUUUGUAGUUAGAAUGGUAGUAGAGAAGUGUUCAGUCAGUUGUGCCGGUUAGAGAUACUCAUGCUAGAUUUGGGAAGCAAAAUAAAACUUUUAAAAGUGUGUAAGAUUUCUUGUAAAACAGAUUGGACAUACAUUUAUGUAUAUGGUAAAGCUGGCUAGGUGAAAACACAAAAUAAAAUCACAUCAAAAUGAAAUAAAUCCCCCAAUAGCUGUUGAACACUUACCUACCCUACCUCUUUCACUCGUAACGUAUCUCCUUGCUUUUCCUGAGCUUUCUGAGUCCAUUGACAUGCCGGUGGUGGGACAGUUUUCCAAGCCAAACCAUAUCUGAACUUUGGGAGGGUUUGGGCUCAGCUGAUAACGGAGUGCUGUCAUCCAAACUGGAGUUGUGAUUCCCAAACACUUAACAUCCCAAUGUCAGAAUUUUGCCACUAUCUCUUUCUAUUUUCUCUCCGAACUUUUGUUUCCCUACCUUCCACCUUUUGUAUAUUAGUAUGCUGAAUAUGCUGAAACACACUGGAAAGUUGAAAAACUUGGAUGUUGUAGGGGUUAACCAGUACUUGCUAGCAACUACUUGGGAGAAUCGUGUUCUCUCCCAUGAUCUUAUUCAGUUCUGUUAGCAGCAAUAUGUCAUCCACCAUCUUUUCAAACUCCGAACAUCAGUUUCAUUAGUAACACUGUUUUAAAAUGAAGAUGCUAUCUAAGGAUCACUAUAUAUACAAUUAUACAGAACUAACCAAAGUUCAGUAGUAUAUUAAGUACGGAAACAAAAAUAGAUAUCACUCGCCUUUAUAGUUUUAUUUGAAUAGUUUUAUUUACAGAACACACGUAUGUGUAUAAAAAUAAUUGUUUAAACUUGCCAAAGGAGAACAGAAUGUAUGUAAAUAAUACAGCUCAUUAAACUUUGAGAACAUUUAAUCUUAAAGUAUCAAAUUCUGCUCAGAGUUACUUUUGUCUUGGUCUAACACCUCCGGUCCUUGUCAGAUCAGAUUCCAUUCAAGACUUUCACAUGGAUCUUUUGCAAAGUCUUUCACAAAGGACUUCAUGUCAGAUUUUUUGCUUUGAUGGAAAUGAGGAGGACUGAAGGACUGCAGCCCAUAUGAAGAUGUUUGUUUGUUUUUAAAUUCAGCCCAGGCCUGCUGUUUGCAAGGAGCUAAGCAAAUCCCAUAAAAUGCUGUAAGGCAAGGUGAACAUUUUAUUCCAUCGUGGUCCAGUUCAAACACAGUCCAGGAAACAGGAAGUGCAUGUUGCAUCUUUCUGCUUUGUUGUUUAAUGUGUGACAUAGCUCUUUGAGUUUGAUGCUCCUAUAACUGCCAUCAAAGAGGAGGACAGGAUUUAACCUGGCGCAUCUAGUGCUUGUGUCUUCCGCAAAGUAAACGGUUCCCCUGCAGUGGUUAACCACACAAAUUGAGAAAUUUUUUUCACACCAUUAUAAUUCUUAUUAAAGGUAAAGGGACACCUGACAAUUAAGUCCAGUCGCGAACGACUCUGGGGUUGUGGCACUCAUCUUGCUUUACAGGCCGAAGGAGCUGGCGUUUGUCCGCUCCGCAGACAGUUUUUCCGGGUCGUGUGGCCAGCAUGACUACGCCACUUCUGGCACAACAGAACACUGAAACCAGAGCAGCGCAGGGAAACACUGUUUACCUUCCUGCCGGAGUGGUACCUAUUUAUCUACUUGCACUUUGACGGGCUUUCGAACUGCUAGGUUAGCAGGAGCUGGACCGAACAACCGGAGCUCACCCUGUUGCAGGGAUUCGAACCGCCGACCUUUCGAUCAGCAAGCCCAAGCAGCACAGUGGUUUAAACCACAGUGCCACCCGCAUCCUAGCCAACCACUUAAAGCAGGCUCGAUUUUUUAUAUUAUAUGACUUGCGUAUUCUUCUUAAUAGUCUAAUAUAAUGCUGGAUUGUGGUGCGUGAAACAAUCCUACCAGACUUAGCUAAUGUCUAUAUUCAGGAACCAAGUGUGUGAAUGAAUGGUUCCUUCUGAAAACAUAUGUCACGCUCCCUGAGGUGACUGUCACAUGGCACAGAAGCCAUGCAGUUUGCCCAUCCAGCCUUUAUUAGAGAAAUUUGAAUUGCUGGGCAUGCAUAGUUCAUCCCUCUGCUAGGUUUCUCAUUCCAUUUUCCUACGUACGCAGCUACUCCAGAGUAAUCACCGUGAAGGGAAGUUGUAAUCUUGCAGUGACGUCAUAAAAGACUGACUUUCCCUUGGGGCUGGUGGUAUUUUGGAGUCAGAGUAAGCAAUAUGAUAGCCAAGUUUGGAAUGAAACCAAAUUAUUCAGGAUGCUCUAAAGUGAAGAACAAUUGGGCAAUAUGACAAAUGAGGUUCAGUUGCCCAACCUGGUGCACUCCAGAUAUUCUGGGACUGACUACAACUGCCACCAGCCCCAGCUAGCUAGGCACAGACGGAGCGCUAGGUUGGGAAAGCCUGUGUAACAUGAUGCAGACCAAACUAAAUAUUGGUUUAAACUAUUUUAAUAUUGAGUUCUUAAAUUGCUGUAACCAACGCUGGGACAAAAGAGAGCUUGAGGACAUAGUGUAUAGACCCGUGGCAACAACAACUCAGUGUGCAGCAGUUGUAGAAGAAGCAAAGUCCCUCUUAGAGAAAAUUAGGAUGCAGACUGAAAAUUAAGUGGCCAGCAUUGGUGGUGAUGCUUUUAUAUAGAUCUAUGGAGCAGCCAGAUUUGCAGGAUGGAUCUGAUUACCAACAUCUCAAAAAGUAUGCUGUAGAGCUAUGAAAGGUAAAGAGAGGGUAACCGAUAUGAUGAUGAGGGUUGGGGAUCCAUCCCCACAAGAAAAGGCACUGAAAAGGUUGGAGUUUCCGUUUUAAAUAAAAGAUUACUGGGAUGGCAGGAGAGAGAGAGGGGCACACAACAGAGGUUUAUAAAAUUACGCAUGGGGAAGAUAGAUCGAGAGAAUGUUUCCUGUCUUCCACAAUACUAGAAUCAUAGUGAAAUUCUACAACUUGAUUGACAUGACAGAAUAAACUGUAAAAAUGACAGGCAGUAGAGUCCUGACAGAAUAAAUAAACAUUUUGCACACAGCACAUAAUUAACUUAUGGAAUUCACUCUCACGGUAUGAAUAUAUGCAUUUAAUUUUCUUACUGUGUCCAUAUACCAUCUUUCCACCAAGGAAAGUGAUGGCUGCUAGCUUAGAUGUUUUUAAAAGGCAUUAGAUAAAUGCAUGCAGGAGAGUCUAUUACCUGCUAUUAGCUGUGACAGCUAAAUGGAGCCUCCAUCUUUAGAGGCACUGUGCCACUAAAUAAUAGGGGAGGGAAUGGAGGAGGCAACAGCAGGGGGUGGGAUUGCUGCCUUCCCACCUGCUUGUAGGCUUCUUGGAAGCACCUGACUUGCUACUGGGCAGAAACAGGAUGUGGAACUAAAUGGAACUUUGGUCUGAUCCAACAAGGCCCCAUGUGUUCUAAAAUAUAUACUAAAGAGAGUAGUUUACUCUGGAUUUACAGCUUUCUGUAGUACAUUUCUCACUCUUGACACCUCUUUUGUGUUACAGCAGUUGGGAAGGGAGUUUAGCCUUGAAAGCCACCCAUCACUUUAAAUUACAUUCCCUGAAAGAACUGAGGAUAAUACAUUUUCCAGCUCUAACAGUAAUGGGAUAUUGGUGGUGUCCCAAUUGAACUGAGUCCAGAGCCAAUUGCUUGUACUCAUAAAAUGCAAAUGGCUUAAAGCGCACAACUCAUGGGUGUUUUAGUUUUCUUUAUGAGUAGCCUUCUGUAAAAGGUUAAGCAGAAAUGAGCAGAAAUUAAAAACAUGUUUGUGUUACGGUGAAUUUGCUAUUCCGGGGGUCUCCACCCCCUUGUCCAUGGGCACCAGGACACCCAUGAAGGCUGACAUUGGUGGCCCUGUGCAGGUUGCCCUGCUCUGACUUACGAUCUUUUUCAAAAUAAGUCUAUAUAAAUUUUUAAAAAGCAAACUAUUAAAAAUGCAGUGUGACAAGGACCUACGUUCCGGGGCUUUCAUGACCUACAGAAUAUUGAAAUAUAUGGCAACUGUAUUGCAUUGUUCUACUCCAAUCUGAUGCUUUCAUAAGAUGAGUCAGGUAGAAAAUGUAAUUUCAUAAUUAAAACAACUUCAUAACCAAUAGGAUUCCUUUGAAUGGGAUUGUAGGAUGUAUAUUGGGGGGGGGGACAAGCAGGGGAGCUGGGGCUGUAUUACAGCUUUGUACUGGGGCACAAAAUGGUGCCUAGACAUUGAACCUAACAGGAUGUUAAAGUUAUCAGGUAUUUGAUUAUUGGGAGUUAUUUUCUUUGUUUUCACCCUUCUACAACCUUUGGUUAAUUCUGCUGCAAACUUUGUUAUUUGGCAAACUAAACUACUGAAGGGUGUUGUCUUGUGUUAGGAUGAUGUAUUACAUACAAGCUGUACAUUAGAGUUUGCUUUGCUUUUUUUCUGAUGAAGUGGUCACUAAUCCUCAAAAGCAAUAGUGGGGAACCCUCAGCCCAUAAGGUGGGGUUUGGCCCUCAAGUCCUUUUUGGACAAAGCAUGCCCACCUGUCAGUCACCUGACAUCAUAUGGCACCUGUUAUCUCUAAUCUAACAUCUAAGUGCUACAAUUGAAAAUAAAGGGUCUCUUAUCACCAAUCUUGGUUCUGAUCACCACAGUGCUAAGAUUGGAGAUUAGCAUCUGCCUGCUCUUUGACAGCAACUGUCAAAGAGCAUGCAUCAUUUCUCUUAUCUCAGCACUGUGGGACUACAUGUUACAUUUUAUAUUGAAAAUGUAAAAAAAAACACAACUUCUUAAUCUGUAGUGCCAUUUGAAAAGCACCAUCAAUUGCACCUUGACCAUACGUUGGGGAAAAUUUAUUCUCAGUCCCCCUCCCCCACCAAGUUUCCUAUAUAUUAACUACAAAUUCCAGAAGGAACACUAUUAUGCCUGUUGCAGGAAACAAAAAAAAUUACCUUGUGACACCUUAAACUCUGCAGGGGCUGUAGUCAGAUGCAGUGAGCAGCAGUCCACAAAAGCUUAUGUCAAUGAUAAAUUUGCUUGUCUUCAAGAUGCCACAGUGUUCGUUCAUUGUACAUAUAACCCAUUUUCACUUAAUGGAUUUAAUUUAUAAAACUAGUUGAAUAAAGAAAAAGAAUUCUGCUCUCAUAACAGCACCACUCUUUUUGAGUGGGUGCUCUCUGACUCAAAUGGAGGAGCUAAGUGAUUUUGGUGGAGGAGUAAGCUGAGUAUUGAACCACGCCUGAGUAAAUGUGGGUAUAAGGAGUUGUGUCUUGUGUGUAUGUCUGCUAGGCUGUGUACUUGCAUUAAAAGAAGUUGUCAGUUCAAAUCAGCAGAGACUCAUAGGGUUUCUCUUCUUCUAAUUUGGCUUUCUGACUCUUUAUUAUGGGCAUUUAGAAGCUUAUAACAUCUGAUGAAGUAGCAGGAAGGAAGUCUUUCUUCGCCCGGUGCAUAAGUAAACUCUGGAAUGUAUUGCCACAAAAUGCAACGAUGGCCACUAACUUGGAAUGCUUUAAUUGCACAAGAAUAAAACUAUCCAUAGCUACACAUUUCAGCUAGCGCCAGAGCUAAUAUGCUUUUGAAUGGCAGCUGCUGAGGAUCGUGGGCAGGAGAGUGCUGUUACAUUUGGCUGACCACUGUGAAACCAGAUGGAUGGAUGGCGUCAGACAUUGGUCUGAUUCAGUAGCCUUCAUCUUCUGUUCUUAAGUCCGCCAUCAACUUGCUCUGACUCCCACACAUAUUCUCCCCUUUUUCGGUUUCCUUCCUUCCCUUCUCUUUCCUACCGCCACCCAAUUUAUGGCCGUCCCCUCUUGUACUUCCGGCCUGCUCCCUCCCCACUCGCCUCCUCUGCCGGCUGAUUUGUAGCACAUUGAAACCUUUGGGGCUGAUGCCACUGUUCUCCUUCCUUGCUUCCCAAGGCUGAAUCUCAUGGCGUCAUUCUUGAUGGCUUUUACCUCACCCAUGGAUGGCGUCGGGAACGGAUGCCAAACAAUGCCAGCCCAAAGUUUCAUUAUUAAUAUUAAUUAAUUAAUUUAACUUAUUUAUUACCCACCCUUCACCCUGUGCUGUUUGCAGCGUUAAAAACAAUAUUAAAAGCGAUGUUGGUCAAGAGUACCUAAAAGGAAGGGAGCUUUCCCCAACCAAGCCUCAGUACCUCUUCACCAGAUCUCUGUCUGAUGAGUGCAAGCAGGUCAGCGGUGUUGGCAGCAGCAGCAGCAGUGGGUAUAUGGACUCUUGGCAGUGCCAACCUUCCUCAAAUAGAGAGAACUUGAGAUAUUUGUGCCUUGACUUGCUGCAUUUCCUCCUGCUCAGAUAGGAGAGGAAAUAAUUAAAGGAAGAACAUGACUGAUGAACUGCUGUUAAGGGAAUUACUGUACCUCAGGAGGUGUGCGACAAAUGUGUUUGGUGAAGGAGAUUCACCUGGGACUCCUGACUGUGUUAUUACUCUCCCACCCCACCCCCACUCCGCUAUUUAAGCCUAGUCGCUUGCAAGAACUGCUGGAGGGUGGAGCUGGUGUAGUGGGUGGAAGGAGGCUCAACUCGGGCACCUGACUGCUUUGUUCUCCCACCUCCCCAAGUACAACUUUAGAAUUGUGCCUUGCAAGGGCAUGAGCUGAAUGGUGAAAGGUGCUUGUCUUGUGGCUCUCAGUCAGUGGGGAGCUGCUAGGUCAUGAGAUGUUGAUGACGAAGAUUAUGAUGGAGCAUGGAACGAGCAAGCUGAGAGUAGGGCACGAAUCGUCAACUGAUAGUUAUUGCCUUGAGCAAGCCAACCACAGCUUCCCACCUGCAGCAGGGAACCGUAAUACUGACCCACAUUCCAGUGGCAUAAUGAUUACAGAAGCAAUGUAAGGGAAUAUUAGGAGCAGAAGUGUCCCAUACUUCUUUAAUCUAAUUUACAGGGACCAUUUUUGAACUUGCGGUGUGCUUUGAUUCUGUGGAAUUUGUGCCGUGCUAACAUUGUGAGCAAGGUUGAAAUGACUGUCCAGAGGCACAAGCUGCUUUUAUAGAAGCCUGCUGGGGAAAAUGAUGCAAAAACACAUCUCGAAGGCUGCUUUUUAAAGGUCUUGUUACCUUUCAAACACAUGCAACUGUCAUGAGAGCUCUGUGCCGGUGAAAUGCCCCUUCUCACAAAUAAACCGUUAAGCACCAUUUUGAUGUAAUUUUCAAAGCUUGACCUCAAUCUCUCUGGGUUUUGAUCAUUAAAAUGGCCCCGCAGCUAUCUGCAAAAGGUCUGCUGCUUCCCUGCUGCUGAAAAUCAGUGGAAACCUGAUUAUAUGAUAAUUGCAAAAAAGGGGGGGUGUCUAACGCUUAUUAAGGAGAUGAAUUAAAGAAAGAAGUGCAAAUCUUUUUUGACAGAGCAGUUGUGUUACAUUUCAAGAGCUCUUCGAAUCAUCCACACCCCUUUCAAAUCUGUGUUAAAAAUUGGAGUGUGCAUCACCUUUGGGGGGGGGCAAAUGAUGAGGUGGAUUGGAGUGGUUUGUGGGUCUCUGUCUUCUGAAUUUAAAUGUGAUGUAAGUAGCACACCCACCCACCCCAAAGUUGGAUCAGGACUCCACAGAGUGUUGUGUCACUCUGUCUCUCCACCCCUGUUCUUUAUUUCUCUAAUGUCUCCAUAGAAUCAUAGAAUUGUAAAGUUGGAAGGGACCCUGAGGAUCAUCUAGUCCAGCCUCCUGCGACGCAGGAAUACGCAGGGGUGGGAAUUGAAUUUGCAGUCAGCAAGAAGUGAGUCUGCCCCCAAAUGUUUCCUGUGGAACAUUGAAGAAAUCUGGUUUAUUUUUAUUUGAAGCAUAGCAGUGGGUGAUUUCUUCUUUUAAAAGUUAACAGCUUCAUUUACAUUCAAAAAAAACACACAACGAAAUCAACUGCAUUGGGUUAGUGCAUCUGGCUGUUAACCAGAAGGUUGGUGGUUCGAGUCCCAGUCCCACCCCACAGCUGUGGGCAGGAUUCCUGCAUUGCAGGGGGUUGGACUAGAUGACUCUCGGGGUCCCUUCCAACUCUUCAAUUCUAUGAUUCUGUGAAACCCAAAGUUCUCCAGAACUCUGCAGGCGGCAUUCUUAGCCUCACACUCUACUGUCUACCAGAGGCUCAUAAAAGCCUAUUGGGAAAUGGCUGAGUGAGGACAUCUAGGGAUUUGGAGUGAGUUGUUGCCAGUGAGUUGAUGAUACCGAAAUCUGUUUCUCUAUUUCAUCAGAUUCACAGUGGGUUCGAUGGGAAUUGCUUCCAGACAAGGGAGAUGUAUAUGCACUUUCCAAAGAUGUGUGUGUGUGUGCUUUUAAUUUGCUACUUUUUAAUCAACAUGCAUAGACACUAGGAUUGGGUGAUGUCUGGUUUUCAACGUUGUGAUAUACCACCAACUCAACAUUGCGAUAUCUGAAAUAAGGAUGGAACUCUGUAGAGGCGAAAAUGGCAAUGUCCUAACAGCUUAGGGGUCUAAAAGUGACAACUUUUUGUUUACCUUUACUAUAUUGUUGCAGCUGUUAUUUUAUAGUACAGGUAAUGUUUAAAUCAGCACAUUUUCUUUAAAAUAUGGAGGGAAGCUACUAGGAGGAAACCAACAACAUAAACAUCAGAAAACGAAAACACUCUCCCCCCUCCCCAUUUUUUCAAAGGAAGAAGAAGAAGCACAUAAGGAAGUAUAGGGUUGGGGAAACAAGUGUGUGAAAGAGCAAAGGGGCGAGGGGAGAAUUGGGGAGAGUUAAGGGAACUUGGGUGUCAGCAAUCGCCCACAGGUGGGUCCUGCCAGCAGAGAGAGCCUAUCUAUUUACAAGCACAAUUCAAAGUGCUGGUUAUGACCUGUAAAGCCCUGCACAGCUUAGGUCCAAGCUUUCUGGAAGACCGUAUUCCCUCAUAUGUACCUACCUUGGUUUUGAGAUCUUCAUGAGAAUGCCUUCUUUGUGGCUGCUCCCAGAUUCUGGAACCAGAGCGGCUCCUUCGUUAUCUUCUGCUGCCAGAUGAAGACCUUGUUCCAACAGGCUUUUCGGAAUUGAUUGCCAUGCCAAGGGUUGGGGUUUUUUUUGGGAAUUAUAUGUAUGAUUGAAACAGAUUUUAUAUAUGAAUACCGAUCAGAAGGUUGGCGGUUCGAAUCCCUGCAACGGGGUGAGCUCCCGUUGCUCGGUCCCUGCUCCUGCCAACCUAGCAGUUCGAAAGCAUGUCAAAGUGCAAGUAGAUAAAUAGGUACCGCUCCAGCAGGAAGGUAAACGGCGUUUCCGUGCGCUGCUCUGGUUCGCCAGAAGCGGCUUAGUCAUGCUGGCCACGUGACCCGGAAGCUGUACGCCGGCUCCCUCGGCCAGUAAAGCAAGAUGAGCGCUGCAACCCCAGAGUCAGUCACGACUGGACCUAAUGGUCAGGGGUCCCUUUACCUUUACCUAAAAUGUUUUUGGCAGUUCUUGUUUUUAUCUGUAGGCCAUCUUGAGUGCCAUCAGGGGAAAAUACAUAUUAUAAAUAAUAACAAUAACAACAACAACAACAUACAUUUGUGUGUUGUAUUGUGCUGGGCACCCCCGCCACUGUUACACAGCCAGUGUAAAUUAAAAUUUCAAAUAUAUAAUUGAGGCCACAUAACAUCAAUAACUUCAAAGUGAUAUUCAAAAUUGGUCCUGAAGGUAAGUUCAUUAAUUAGACUCCUGAUACUUCAUUAAUUGGGCAAAGAAAAUUCAGCAGUUAGUUAGCUGACUGUAUGGAAGGCAUGAUGCACUUUUGCCCAAGGAAUAAAACAAGCAGGAUACACUUUUACCCAAGGAAUAAAAACAAGUGUUAUUUUUAUAGCUGGUAUUAGUUCAAUAUGUUUAACGAAAUCAGUAUCAAGUCUCUGAGCAUAUGCGUGAUCAGUCACAAAAUGUUUGAUUUACUGAGGAAAAAACUGGAGGGUUUUAUGCAGCUGGAGUGCAGAACUAAAGGAAGAAAUGCAACAGGGUGUACUAGAGCAGAGAAAAUACUUGUAGAAAGUAAAUCGUGGAGGGAAGGAGGACUGAGAAAUGCACAUUCCAGGCAGAUUUAAGCCUUUUGUGGAUGUUCCAUUUUACCACAUGUAAACACUCAACACAAGGGAGAGCCAAGCCCCAUCUUCUCUGACAUAUCAUUUUUGGCUCCUUCAUAGCCUUCCACAAAUUUGUGGGUGAAGGUCUCAAGCAGGGCACACCCUUUACUUGCGAAGGCUCCGCACGUGCCCAAUUUGAAAAUAUACAAGGGCAGAAGUGGUUCCUGCUUCAGAACUUUGCCCUCAGUCUCGUGGAGGGCUGUAAAUGGGCCACCGGGGUCAGAAAUAGUCACUGCACCUCCAGACUCCCUUAUGUGCGCAUUUAAAUGCAAGGAAACAGAAUUCCUGGAUAAGGCCUAUUGCUUUUAUUAUUAUUAAAUCUUUAUUGGUUUAAAAUACAAAGAUACAAACAUACAAGGUAAGUGUGGCGGACAUACAGGGUCCCCGGACGUUUGACGGUCUAUUGAUCCCUGUGCCACCACUGUGCUCGCUUCCCCGCCGCCACCAACCCGUUACUCUCAGGUACACACUGAGUCCAGACAGUUGUUAAAAUUAAACCAAAUAAACAAGUUUAUUUUAUAAGCAUUGACAAUUUUAUGGUUUCUCAGAUAAUUUUCUUGUCAGUUUCUUAACCUUAGUUUCUUUACCGGCCUAUACCUUCCUAAUACCUUCUGACUGAUAACCUCAACUGUUUGACUGACUCCUCUUAACAGAUUGUCUCACAUCAGACUAGCCCAACCCACAGACUUAUCCUCCCUCUCUCUUCUCUAACUCCAGACUGGCUUCUUAACAACUCUAACUCUAACUCCUCCCCUUAGGUUCCUAUAGGUUAGUCAUUUUACAAUUAGUUAACCCUUUCCUUAUGAACCCAGUAUGAUAUCACACAGUAACAAUUUCAGAUUUAAAUACAAAAAAGAAAGAAAGAAAAGAAAUGGGGGAAGGAAAAUUUUGAAACAAAGACAAAAAAAUGAUAAAAGGGGGGGGGAGACUAAAGAUUUAUACAACAUUAUAUCUAUCAAAUAAAUUUUUUUUGCAAAAAAACUUCCAAAACUCUUUUUGUUGUCAUGGUAUCAUUUUUGCAAUAUAAUCUUAUAUAUUCUUUAAAUAUUUUCCAUUCUCCAUAUGUUUUCUGGUUUAAAACUCCCCUGACGUUUCCCGUCAGCUUUGCCUGUUGGAAAUACUCUAUCAUAAGUGUCUGCCAAUCUGUUAUUGUUGGUGUUGUUUCAUAAGGCCUAUCGCUAGAUCACAAACUGUGACCAUUUAAAGCCUGUCCUCCAUAAUCAAUUAGGACUAUCAUCUUUAGACCAGGGGUAGUCAACCUUUUUAUACCUACCACCCACUAAUGCAUCUUUCUUGAUGGUAAAUUUCCUUACUGCCCACCAGCGCUCGAUGGAAGGAGGAUUCAGCUUGUGCCAUAGAACCCCCUACCGCCCACCUAGAAUCCUGAAACGCCCACUAGUGGGUGGUAGGGACCAGGUUGACAACCCCUGCUUUAGACAAAUUCCGGGGGACCAGUCUAUCAGAGGCUAUAAAUGCUGCCCCCAUGUGCAGAGGCUUCUAAACACGAUGUAUAAUACUUAUAAUUAACAAUUCUAAUAAUACUUCUGAAGAUUAUAAAAUCAAUAGAGGACCAUACUCACUCUGUUCAGAAGCAUUAACCAAAAACGUGGAUUCUUGUACCAUUAUUUAACCAGUCUGCAUGCAUGGCAGUAUAAUGAAGGGUUGUGAGUAAAGGGUGUUCACAGUUCAUGACAUCCACCUGAAAGAAUUUAAACUAAGGCUCUUCUUUUGUAUGCAGUAAAUGCUAGAAGCUUUUAGCAUCUUGUGACAAUUAACUGCUCCUUAGGUUCAGGGUAAGCAGACACAGUAACCGGUCCUAAUUUGUUUGUUUACUCAGACUAGUGGUGAAAGUUAUGGAAUAUGCUAGAUAGUUGCUUUGCAUUUUCAUUGCAUUAUUAUUAUUUACAGAGUAUAUUUCUUUUUCAUUUGAACUAGUGUUGGGACUGCUUUUAAAUAAAAUGUUGAGGUGCUAGAACCCUUUCCAGGUGCAUUGAACUCAUGAGCGCUGGUAUAAGAGGUUGGUUUAUUCAUUAUAUGGUCUGAAAGAACUCUGUAGGGUCUCCUCUGUAGGGAAUUAGUAUAUACGGAGAUCUUUCUCCAGGCAGCUGAAACUUUCCUGGUGGAUAAAAUGUAUUUAUAGAAAAUGUGAAAUAAGUUAUGUGAAAAAUACAUAUUUGGGGUUGAAUAUAUUUGUAUGUGUUUUACUGAUCUGAAUUUGACUUAUUUCUUUAAAAAUCUUUUUUUAAGAAAAUCUUUUUUAAAAUCUUUAAAAUCCAAUAACAUGAUACCUAAAAUGCUAGGAUCACUUCUGCACCCUGCAUUUCUAGAUACGUGGACAUACAUUUUUUGGGAUAUACAUUUUUUAAAGAUGUUAAUAUGUUAACAAGGCACAGAUACUUAGUUAUAUUAUCUAAGUAAAUUCACCAGAAACUCAUGAUUGGCUGAAACUUCCUUUAAAAUGCACGUAGAAUUGCAGACCAUAUGGCUUCCUGUCAUGGAGGAUGUGAAAUGGCGCUUUCCUGUUUUACUGUUUCUGUUUUGCAUACAAGCCAAUGCUCACGGUCAAUUUCUGCCAAGCAAACCACAAGCAGUGAGUCAGGUGGUGGGUUUUUUGCCUCUCUCUUAGAUACAUGUAAGACUGACUCUUCACCUUUUUGGUUUCUCAAAUCAGCAGUCUCCCUUUAUAACCUGUUUACGUGAAAAAGGAAUCCCAGGUUCUCUCCCAGUCACACUUUGGGAAAUGCUAAUGAGUGUAGGGUUGUUUGUACCUCCUGUACUGAUAGGCAUUAAUGAAACCUGCUUUGCUGCAUUUUUUUUUUGUUUUGUUUUGUUUGACAAUGCCUUCAUUUCUCUUGCUUUCCAUUUGUAUUCCUUCUCCUGGUUUUUCAUGUUUGUUUUUAAAGAAAAAGGUCCCUGCUAUGACCUACUUUUACAAAUCAUAGAAUCAUAGAAUCAUAGAGUUGGAAGAGACCACAAGAGCCAUCGAGUCCAACCCCCUGCCAAGCAGGAAACACCAUCAGAGCACUCCUGACAUAUGGUUGUCAAGCCUCUGCUUAAAGACCUCCAAAGAAGGAGACUCCACCACACUCCUUGGCAGCAAAUUCCACUGUUGAAUAGCUCUUACUGUUAGGAAGUUCUUCCUAAUGUUUAGGUGGAAUCUUCUUUCUUGUAGUUUGGAUCCAUUGCUCCGUGUCCGCUUCUCUGGAGCAGCAGAAAACAACCUUUCUCCCUCCUCUAUGUGACAUCCUUUGAUAUAUUUGAACAUGGCUAUCAUAUCACCCCUUAACCUCCUCUUCUCCAGGCUAAACAUGCCCAGCUCCCUUAGCCGUUCCUCAUAAGGCAUCGUUUCCAGGCCUUUGACCAUUUUGGUUGCCCUCCUCUGGACACGUUCCAGUUUGUCAGUGUCCUUCUUGAACUGUGGUGCCCAGAACUGGACCCAGUACUCCAGGUGAGGUCUGACCAGAGCAGAAUACAGUGGCACUAUUACUUCCCUUGAUCUAGAUGCUAUACUCCUAUUGAUGCAGCCCAGAAUUGCAUUGGCUUUUUUAGCUGCCGCGUCACACUGUUGGCUCAUGUCAAGUUUGGGGUCAACCAAGACUCCUAGAUCCUUUUCACCUGUACUGCUCUCAAGCCAGGUGUCACCCAUCUUGUAUUUGUGCCUCUCUUUUUUUUUUGCCCAAGUGCAAUACUUUACAUUUCUCCCUGUUAAAAUUCAUCUUGUUUGUUUUGGCCCAGUUCUCUAAUCUGUCAAGGUCGUUUUGAAGUGUGAUCCUGUCCUCUGGGGUGUUAGCCACCCCUCCCAGUUUGGUGUCAUCUGCAAAUUUGAUCAGGAUGCCAUUGAGUCCAUCAUCCAAGCCGUUGAUAAAGAUGUUGAAUAAGACCGGGCCCAAGACAGAACCCUGUGGCACCCCACUAGUCACUCUUCUCCAGGAUGAAGAGGAACCAUUGAUGAGCACCCUUUGGGUUCGGUCAGUCAGCCAGUUACAAAUCCACUGAGUGGUAGCAUAGUCAAGACCGCAGUUUACCAGCUUCUUUACAAGAAUAUCAUGGGGCACCUUGUCAAAUGCCUUGCUGAAAUCAAGAUAGGCUACAUCCACUGCGUUCCCUUCAUCUACCAUGGAAUAACAAUUACCCUGGAAUAACAAUUAAACUGCAAAAAGCCUUGGUUUACACCAUUGUUUCCCUCUUAGUUUUGUUUUUAAUGGCUGUUUGUGUUUAUUGAUUGAGGGUUGUUGCUUUGUUUUAAUUCACCAGAAGAAAUAGAUAAAGCAAAUACCACUCAUAAGCACAGCACUUUAAAAAUGUACUGCUAACAAAACAUGAAAUGUGUAUGUAACUAACAAUGAAAAACAACCAGAAACCAACAAAGACAAUGGGAAAAUAGAAAUAACCACUGGUGACAAAAUUAAUUCAACAUAACAAAUGUACCCAAAAUACAAAUCUAUAAUCUGUUGGCGAAGGGUUUGCUCACAAAUAAAUAAUUUGGAGGAUCAAGUAGAGCCCUGGCUGCUAAAAGAUUUCUGAAAUGAUAUGUGAAAAUAUACAUUUUUUACUUUUGAAAAACUAAGUCUGCCUAAUUGUCACAGAUAGGGAUAAGCGAAUAGGUCGUUUUUCAUUUUUCUUAGUUUCUCAUUUAUCCAUUCUUAAGUUGAGCUCCCCACAUUUCCACAUAAAUUUAUGAUUCCCCCCCCCAAAAAAAUGUCCUCAUGAAAAUUCACCAGCAUUUCGCCUCUUUUUUUUUUGCAGUACUUUUCUUCUGGGGGGGUGCAGGGGCACGUACACCCCUAAACAUUUUGUGAAUCUAAGUUUGUCCUCAUUGAGGGGCAGUAUUUCAGUAUGAGUAGGGAAAUGAGAGUACCCCUAAACAUUUUUUAAUAAAAAAGCACUGUAUGCACUUUUUGUAUGUAGAUUCCUCUAAUGUGAUGCAUUUUUGUAUGUUAUAUUUACUAUUAUAUGCAAUUAUAUGGACUUUACCCUGGUUUAUGUACCUUUUGUACAAAUUACUUGGGUGAAGAAUUGCAUUUUAAAACUCAGAAAAGCGCAAAUUUCAAAGGAUUGGUUGUGUUUCUGUUCACAUAUUGCUUCAAAGAGUUUGAAUCAGCUAAGUCUGCUUUUAAAUGCAAACUUAUUUGAAUUUAUCUUCCAUCUCUAGUCAUGAGAGAAGUGAAGAGGAAAAACUAAACUCUUAAGAAGUACUAAGGUGUGUUUCUGAAGAUCCAUGUAGAAUUAAAUGCAACAUAGAUCAAACCUCUCAUGUCAUAGCAAUAUUUUGGGGGUUAUAGUAACGCGGGUGGCGCUGUGGUCUAAACCACUGAGCCUAGGGCUUGCUGAUCAGAAGGUCGGCAGAUUGAAUCCCCGCGACGGGGUGAGCUCCCAUUGUUUGGUCCCAGCUCCUACCAACCUAGCAGUUCGAAAGCACGUCAAAGUGCAAGUGGAUUUGCAAGUGCUGCUUCAUUCCAGAACUUAAAGAUAUAGUACUUUGAUAAGAUUUCUAUGUCAAAGUGCAAUGGGUACCACGCCAGUGGGAAGGUAAUUGGCGUUUCUGUGCGCUGCUCUGGUUUCUCCAGAAGCGGCUUAGUCAUGCUGGCCACAUGACCCGGAAAAACUGUUUGCGGACAAAAGCCGGCUCCCCUGGCCAGUAAAGCGAGAUGCAUGCCGCAACCCCAGAGUCGUUCGCAACUGGACUUAACAGUCAGGGGUCCCUUUACCUUUAGCUUUUUAGUAACUGAAUCUUCAAAAAGAACAUCUCACAGAUUGGUCACACCUGCAGUCAAAAUGGAGUUUAUCUUUGUGACUUUAAGUUAUCACAGCAAAAACUAAAAUUAACUGUGACAUCUCCUCUUGGCCACAGGGGCGCAUGUAUUUCUGGAUGGCCUGCACAAUGCAGAUCAUUCCUGGCUACGUUCCUGAAUUCUGAGCAAACACCCUAGAUUAUAGUACACAUGGCCUUUUGCUUCCUCCACUAAAGCCCAUCUGUUCUGAUGGCAUUAUUCCUGCUUGCAAGUUAAUCAGACCAUCUCACUGAAUCACAAAGGCAGUGUGGGCUGCAGCGGACAGCUACAGAAGACAAGUACUACAAAGUCUCUCCCCUCAAAAGUUAGAGCCACACUGGUGCCAUGUGCUGCAUUAUUGGAUGAAAUUCAUUAGUGUUACACUGCCAACGAAAGCUUCCUAAACAGGGAGGGAAAUGAGUUGCAGCUGAAUGCUGAUUUGCGAGUGCUGCUUCAUUCCAGAACUUAAAGAUAUAGUACUUUGAUAAGAUUUAUUUGUCAAAAUAAACCACUUUAAUCUUGCAGCAGCAUAAAGAUCUAUUUAAAUGACAAAGCCUAGUUCAGAAGUUGUACCUUCCAUGUGAAUUUUCGUAUUACAUUCUUAAGUGAUAAUGGGCCCGGUUUGGGUGUGAUGCCAAGUGAUGGUUUGGUGUUCUGCUUCAGCCUCCUAUUCCCAGUAUGGAUCAGAAGAGGACACUGGAAGUAUCCAUGUUCUAGUUUAAACUCAUCACAGAUUGUUACAUCCAAACCAGGAACUGUGGACAGUGUAAAUAACGUAUGUUCCGUUGAAACGAGCCAGGAUCAAACCUGGAGGUUCUACUCUGGCUUCCAAUCUCAGACUCACAAUGGAUGUUUUAUUAGCAUAAAGUAUUUGUAGACUUUAGACUAGAGGUAAGUUAGUCUAGGUUCAGUUCUAGGGGUGCUCCCACCAGUCUGCUCAGAGGUAAGGUCUAUAUUCUGUUCUUGGUGUGCCCACAAAGUAUGCUCUUACUAAGCUUCCAUGACUGAGAGUGUUCAGAUUUCCUGUCCUAACACUUCCUGUUCCCCUUCUAGAUCCUGAGUCUGUCCAUUUAGUUCCAUUACUUAGGAUACGGUGAAGAAGGAUCUGAGGGGGCAGGAGAGCAUUGGUGCAUGAGGCUCAAUCAAGUUCAUUUGUGCGAACCAGGUCAAAGAUGGCAAUUUCUUGUGAAAUUGCAAAAACUAUUGCGAAAAUUGCAUGGCGUGGUACAUGAAGACAGUGACGGAAGGGAAAAGCGCUGUACAUCAGCACUGUAAUUAAGACACACACUCGCAACAUUAAAAAAAAAACCCUCAUGAAACCCUAUUUUUUAAAAAAUUGAAUCUUGUACAGGAGGGAGCAAAGUGAACACAGGAUUAUUUAGCAUGUUUUGGCUUCAGGAUUUAGGAUUAAGUAGAGUGCAAGAGCACGUCCAGGGGAAUUCAUAUCAUUUAACCAACAACCGCUUGUGAUCAGUAUCACUUUUAUUCAAAAUUAUUAGCUCAGUUAUGCAACCACUAUGCAAAUUCUUGAAUGUUACAUUCAUUCUUAAAAUCUUACUACACACCACUUGAAUUCUGAGUUUCUAUUGAUGUGUUUCCACUAUUUAGACCUAGCCGGGAUGUUCAGAACCCAGAUAAAUCCAGAUGUUGUAACUCAGGAGCAGAUUUACAGCACAGUUCUAGAAGUCCUAUAACAUAUCCCUUUCCUGAAUUGUUGUACUACCUCCCACGAGUUCAGAGUCAAGUACAGAUGUGUUUAGAGCAGUCUUCCUUCCAAAUACUGUUCUGGUACAAGCAUUAUUAAAUUCAGAGAUGGGAUUGCCUUCCUGUGCCUUUAGGCCAUUCUUUGAACUCAUGGAACUUAUGCACAUCUAGGAAGCUUCAGCUCUAGGUAAAAAGGGUGUGUUGAACUAUUUUUCUGAGCUCCAAAAUGUUACCAUUGUUCUCGGAUUCCAUCUCCCAGGUUCUCUAGGUCUGCAUCAUUUAAUAUAUGGUACGCUGGUACACUGAACUUCCUGCAGCUUCAAUCAUCCAAGCUCUCAUGUUUCAUCAUGGCCAUGCCUGCCUUUAUAUAAUGUAAUUUGAUAAUUCAUCUUUCCCAGGAAAGCGCUUCUGAAAAUGUAAUUUAUGUAAUGCAUUUUAGGCAAGAAUAAUAUAAUAGGACAAGGCAGCCAAAAUAGCUAUUGAGCGCAUAGACUAAGGAGAAUCGUGUACAGUGGUACCUUCGUUUACAAGCAUAAUCCGUUCUGGAGGUCCAUUUGUAAACCAAAACAGGUUGUAACCCAAGGCAUGCUCUUGCCAAUAGGGCCUCCAAAUUUUUUUUGUUUUUAAUCCCCCCAAAAAAUGGGUUGUAAUCCCAAAAAAUGUUGCAAACCGGGACACGCACUUCCGGGUUUGACGUGUUUGUAAUCUAAAACGUAUCCAAGCCAGACUGUUCGCAAACCAAGGUACUACUGUAUUUUCUUAAAGGGAGAGUUUGUGUUUGUAAAUAACUCUAGCCACUAUGCAGGAUCAAUUUCUGUACUGAAGGUUACCAUAAUGUCUCCCAAAUUUUUCCAUGUUACAGUUUAAAAAAUGUUCCUAAAAAAUGUUACACACAUACAUACAUACAUCCAUGCAUGCACACACACACACACAUACAGAAAACAGAUCAAUAUCUACUGAUCUGAUGCAACUUAGUGGUGAUCUUGUUUCAGAUGUUUUGCUCCUCUCUCUACCUUCUCCUAAACAGCUUUGUCAGACCAGGUGAAAGAGAUGCCAUGGAAAAGCUCAGAGGGAGGGGAAAGCAAUAGGUUGACUUAUUUCUUUUUCAUUAUACUGUUAUAGGUUUGUAGGUUCUAGAAUUUAAUUACGGCUUGGGGCAUCAGAAGUGAUGUGAGGCGAUAGGUAGACCCAUGUGUGUAUUUGGGCUGUGUGUUAGAUGCUUUUAAUUCCUUGGAAUUAACAUGUGUGUAACUUAGCCAGGCAAACUUACUAAGGUGCGUAUUAGACAAUGACAAUCCUAGGGAAUCAACAUGAGAUAAGUGUUAAAUGAGUCAGACUAAUUUUCUUUGAGGUAUUAAGCCUGGGGUAACGGGUCAUUUACACAACAGAGGAUGAAAGAAAUGGGGUCUCUCCCUGUGUUAGAAAAAGCCAGCACUUUAUAUUAGUGUGAGAGUAAGCUGGAUGUUAUAUGACCUAGGAAAGCAAACUGUAGAGCAAGGAAGAAGCUGGAACCUCUUGGGUUGCUAAUGCUGUGAUCCCCUCCAUCGUAGGCUCAGUUUGUGUAUAUAUAUGUGUGUGUGUAAAUAAACCAUAUACCAUAAAGAUCCAGCAAUCUCCACUGUGUCUCAUUUUCCCAAAUGGAAACACAAACCCUGUUCCUGGAACCCCUAGAAUCUUGCACUGCUCAGAGAUUGGGGCGAUGUGUAACAAUGUGCUACACCCUAGUAGUAACUGACACUAUUCAAUCACACUUCGUUCAGCUGAAUCUUAAGUUUGGGUGCUGAUCAAUAGGCCAUCAGCUUCAGGAACAAACACUUGGGAGGAUUACUAAGAGGACUAAACAGAGGUUAUUAGCUUCCUUCACAUCACAUGGUCUUUUCCACCUGGGAAACCUUGGCCUCAGGUGGGAGGCAGUGAAUAAUAAUCAGGAUGCAGAGAGGUUGGGGGAAAGCUAACAAAAAAGCUUCUUCGCAUGGAGAAGCCGUGGGCUACAGAAAGUGUUUUCUGAGUAUACUAGAGGUGGAAACAAAGGGUCAGAAACAACCGCAAGCAUACAGAUGAAGAAAGCUACUGCCUGGAUACAUAAUUAUGUGAUGGAGUGGAAUGUAAGGAGGGAGACACAUUUUCUAGGCUUUACAACCAAAAGCGCGGGGGGGGGGGGGAGUGAAGUUCUCAUGCAAUGACUCACUCAUCCCUAAGUACCAUUUUAUAUACAUUUCCGCCAUCUGGUGACAAUAAAUGAUCAAUAAUAUUCAAAUUUGGUUUAGUAAGGUUAACUUACUCAUUUGUAUCAUGCCAUUCUUUACAAAAAAUACAUCCAGGGUACUUUGCAAUAAAUGAAAGAUGUAUUAUUUGUGUCAUUUUAUUCAUGGCAGGCUGCCUAAAGCCCAACAUCAACAUCAGAAUGUGGCAAGAUUUUUUUUAAAAAGCAUUUCACAAAUGUAAUCAUUUUCAGAAUUUUCCAGAGAGGUAUGUCCCAUCCAGGGAUGCGGGUGGCGCUGUGGGUUAAACCACAGAGCCUAGGACUUGCCGAUCAGUAGGUCGGCGGUUCGAAUCCCCACGACGGGAUGAGCUCCCGUUGCUCGGUCCCUGCUCCUGCCAACCUAGCAGUUUGAAAGCACGUCAAAGUGCAAGUAGAUAAAUAGGUACCACUCCGGCGGGAAGAUAAACGGCAUUUCCGUGCGCUGCUCUGGUUCGCCAGAAGCGGCUCAGUCAUGCUGGCCACCUGACCCGGAAGCUGUACGCCGGCUCCCUUGGCCAAUAAAGCGAGAUGAGCGCCACAACCCCACAACCCUAAUGGUCAGGGGUCCCCUUUACCUUUACCUUUAUGUCCCAUCUAGAAGGGAGCAGGCAUCGGACCAGGGGUACUUCUCUGGUGAUAAGAGCUGUGAAUGGGGUUGUGGACAGAAGCUGAGCUCUUCGUUGGGGUUGAGGGGACUCUCCUUGCUCUGCCAACCAGUCUGAAGAGGCUGCAGAAGACUGACAAAAACCCCACCUAAUCCUGGCCACAGGGCAGUUGUCAUCCCAAAGUGGGGAAAACUCUUCAGAAGACUCCCGUAAAUAUUUAUGCAGAUGUCUUCACCUGAGUUUCCUGUUUUUACUGUUGUGUUUUAAUGGGAUUGUUUUGUUGCAUAUUUUAAUUAUGGAUGUUUAUAUUUAAUAUUUUAAUGGAAUUGCUUUAUUGUGUUCUAUAAUUAUGGUGUCAUUGUAUAAUUAUGGUAUAUUUUUUUAACAGUGUUGUGUAAUUGGUUUUCAUAUUCUGUGAACCACUUAGAAGCCUAUUUUGGCAUUAAGUGUACAGAAAUUGAUUCAUAAUCAUAAGGUGCAGAAAGCUUUGUGCAAACAAGUCCAGCCCAUUCACUUCCAGGCCAGAAAAAGUAGAGGUAGUCCUAUAUUCAGUAAUGAGCUUUCCAAGACACAGCAGCCUUGCUAGUGCGAAAACUCCAUCUGUGUGUGUGUGUGUGUGUGUGUGUGCGCGCCAGAGUGCUGGAGCAGGGCUAGAAUGCUUUGGAAUCAUCUCAGGCAAUUUUAAGUGACAUCUUGUAGAGGAGACUGUUAAAUUUAUCUUACAACAUAUGGUUUCCCUGGCUCCGUGGGCAGAGAUGCACAUUCUUACUCAAUCAAGAUUGCUUAGAACUGGGCCCCACUUCCUGGAAGCCCCAUGUACGCAAUGGGAGCAAAUGGAAGUUCUGAAGAGCUCACAUUUGUAUCAAGCAGCAUCGCCACAUAUCUCAACAGGGUUCAUGAAUCUCACAAAUUGGGGUAGCCCAUUCUCCCCUCAACAGUGUAUUUUUUUUCAAGCUGCCAUGAUUGUUGAAAUUGUUGCGACUGCAUGCACAGCCCACACAUGGAGGCACUAGUUCAUGCAGAUGGCAUCCCUGCCCAUGUAGCUCCCAUCCAGAAGCUCAGAAACAGCCCUGCAUGCUACCAGGGUAUCACAUAAGUGCCACCGGUAGGAUUAACUGGUUGCUUUUUGAAAUUGCUUGCCCCUCCCCUCCCCCCAAAAACCCAAUGAAACUUAUGAGAGGUUUCAUCUUUCCAAGAGAAAGCUUUAACAGCAGAUUAGGCAAUGCUGCAGAUGUGUACUUUCUUAAAUUAUUUUGUUACUAUAGUUACUGCUGACAAGUUAUAUAAAACAAAUUGCUUAUUGCAGCACAGAGGUAAAGGAGUCUUUCUUUCUUUCUUCCUUUCCUUUCCUUUCCUUUCCUUUCCUUUCCUUUCCUUUCCUUUCCUUUUUAAUUCUAAUUUCUUUCAGCAAACUCAUUACCCGUUGAUUUUAAAUGCUGUGCAUUUUGUUGAUACCUAGGAGCUAACAACACCAUUUUAGUGAUGGAUGAAAAAAUAAAACCCAAGGUCAAAUCUAGCUUCUCUUUUAUACUUGUUAUUUUAUUCUUUGGUUAUAUGAAAUUGCCUCACCCCAGCAAGUCAUUAGAAUAAUUGGCUCACUUUGAGUUUUGCAUUAAUAAUGUGAAAAGUCCACCUUUUUUCUGAAUUCUGCUGCAUUAGAUAUUAAUUUCAUGCAAAAGAUUUUGGUGAAACUCGACAAGCUGACAUUAAGUUUGGUGAUGAUCCUACAGCAGGAGUAGGGAGCCUAUGGGACAUGUAUUUCAGCAUCUGCUGGCUGUGCAGCGCUUAACCCAAUGUAAGAAAGACUUAAACCAGCUGGAUUUUUCAUCAGUGAAUUACCUUAGUUUUUGAAAAGAAAUUGUAUUAGGAAUUGCAACUUUGCAUUUUGUGGCCAAUGACAUUGUGUCGACAUUGUGAAAAAUGUACAUGCAUGAGGAGCACCGAUCCCACAAUAAACACCUGUCUGGAAGCACUCCUUGUAUCUACUGUGGACCUUCUGCCUACUCUGGAUUCCGGCUCCAGGACUUCUUGGAGGUCAGGUAUACAAGGGGCUGGUAGAACUGAUGAAUGAUAUCCCUUCUGGACGUGGCCUGCAGGAACAGAUUCAUUUUAUUAUCUUCUGCAUUGUGCACUUCAGACAGUUUCCAGAGGCUAGAGCUGCAGUAUUCAAGGAUCAGGUCUCCCUAAUGCUUCCUGUAGUCUCCAGCUGCUUUAAUCAACCUUCCACAGCCCCUCACCUCUGUGAAUUUGUUUUAAUGUGCCUACUGGAAAAGGUACAGUAGUACUGAGACAAGAGUAUUUCGAAGGAUUGUGGAAGAUCAGAGGUGGGUUAAAUGAGAGUGGAGAGCAUUUGCAGUACUGAUGAAAGCCAUAUGAUGACGUGUGCGAGAGAGCAAAAGGCUAGUUGAAAGAUUUAGAUUAGAAUAAUGCAUGAUUGUUCAAAGUUGGUAUAAAUGGUAAUUGAAAAUCAUUGGAUUAGUUUCCAAAUGAAUGCAACCCAGUGUUUCCUCAUUGCUGUAUGGUUAAAAUGAGACGGUUAGACACAAUGGUGACUAUCAAUUCAAGACAAUAAUAAUAUGAAUGGGAGGUCAUAUACUGCCAUUUAAUUAAGCUUGCCUGGCAUGUUCAUUUGUUAUGAAUGUAAGUAAAUGCAGAUUCUUUCAGUCAGCUAAUUGGGAGCCUGCUUAAAAGAACCUGGGAAAGGUAUAGUGCCAUAGCAACAACAGGCCAUGUGACCAUGUUGCUAUCAGCUGCACACCAAAUAUGAUUACUGAGAUUAUUUUCUUUCUGCUCUGGUAACAUGCAACAUCCUUUUCACUACUUAUAAUCAAUUCUUUUCAUAGAAAAGACAUGUUAAGACUGUGAAUACAAAAGACAGAUCUUUAAUUUAGAGAACGUGAAGCAUGGGAAAUCUGAAAUGCGAAUUCCUGGUUUUCACGAUGGAUAGUACUAUCACAAUGAACUGUUGCUAACAUGAAGUCAGAUCUUGACCUAUUUCCAACAUUAGCCAAUAGCAGAGAACACCUUCAGCUGUAUCUCUCACAAUAUUUGGCGCUUAAAAUCUUAAUCUUUUGCUGAAUCAUGCGAAUCACAACUUUGACUUUAAAAAAUCACCAGCCUGGUUCACGUGACACAGUAAGCCAAACUGGCUUCCUGUGGCUGUGCAAAUGUCUGGGCUCUUUUCAACUGCUCUGCCAAGCACAAGGUUUGGCUGAGCGUGCCGUCCAAACUGGGACUCAUUUGUGGUUAAGCUACCUCCUUGCUAACCAUGGUCAGUAGCCAAGAACCAACUUAGGCUACCACUCAUAGUUAGUAAGGAUGACGCUUAGCUGCAAGUCUAAGGCCAACCUUUGCUUAGCUCAACACAGGCAGCAAUAAACAGGACCAGGGAGGAGAAAAGAAAAUACGAGAGCCUCACAGAGAGAUAUCCACACCUUUACACGGCCAUGACAAACCAAACUUUAGUAUAUCGCAUUGUAUGAAACCCGGCCACUUGCAAUGGACACAGGUCCAUUGCAAGAAGUACUCCUGGUUACAUAUAAUUUUGAUUAUAUUUAAUACUGAGUUUAAUAUUAUAUUUUUCAAUUUCCAUUACACACAAUUAAUAUUAUUAAUAAUGAAUGCUAUAAUAAUAAUAAUAAUAAUAAUAAUAAUAAUAAUAAUGCAAAAGAGAUCAUGUUCUGCAAGUGUAUUUUUUAAACACUUACCUACCUCAUCAUGUUUUUGAAAGGUUUCGCUAUCCACCAUUUUCAAACUAUGCCUUCAGCAUUCUUAGAUGGGAAUUACGGGAACACUCCACAAAAUGAAGUGAAAUAGAGGAUCUCAGGUCAGGUCUGCCACUGGCACCACUUCUCCGCUCGCCGUGCUGCCUCCGCCACUGGGGGGGAAGUGACACUGGCAUCGGCGCCAAUUUCAGAGGAGAUCUCACUGAAAUGGCACAAAAUCUCAUGCAAUUUAAGCUGAAAUCGGCACUCAUACCAGCAUCAUGUCUGCACCAGCAGUGGAGGCAGGUCAAGGCAGCCUCAAGCUGCCAUCUUGGGGGCUUCUGCCUCAAUCUGCCUAACGGCAGAGCCAGCUCUGCCUCAGGUAUUGUUGCCCUUUAUAAAGAUCUAAGAAAGAGAUGCAUGACUAAGCGGCUUCUGGCGAACGAGAGCAGUGCACGGAAACGCCGUUUACCUUCCAGCCGGAGCAGUACCUAUUUAUCUACUUGCACCUUGAUGUGCUUUUGAACUGCUAGGUUGGCAGGAGCUGGGACCAAGCAACGGGAGCUCACCCCGUCACAGGGAUUCGAACUGCCAAGCCUCCGAUUGGCAAGCCCUAGGCUCUGUGGUUUAACCCACAGCGCCACCCACGUCAAAUAGAGACUGUCAAAUCUGUCGGUUGGGUUUCUCUGUUUCUCAUUAUUCAAAUCUUAAAUUCAGUUCUCCAUAUCUCCACAUCAAUUUGUGAUUUCUUUGUUUUGUUAAAAAAAAGUCCUCAUGAAAAUUCAUCAGCAUUAUACUGCAAAUUUCUCCUUUUAUACAAUUUUUUGCAACAAUAUUUCCCCUAAAAUAAUACAUUUUUGUAUGUUAUUUUCACCAAUAUUUGCAUUUUUAUUCAUGUUUUGUACACUUGGCAAAAGAAUUGCAUUUGAAAAUUCAGAGAAUUCUGAAAGAUGGCUGUGCUUCAGUUCUCAUAUUGUUUUGAAAAUGCAAAUCAGGCUUGCAGAGAUGUGGUUGUGAAAUUUGGAAGAAUAGCAGUUUUAGCAAGAAGAGAUUUACCAAGGACAAGUAGUGUGAAAUAGAGCAACUCCCCCCAAAAAACUGCAAUAUACAAGGAGAUCAUACCAAAAUUAAAUAGCGCCAAACCAGUUGGUCACAUCCACUCUCUCUCCAAGUUACUGCUUCCAUCAGUGUUUCUUCUGCUCCCCCACAUCUAGAAAUCAAGGAGGCUAAAGGGCAGGGAGGCCAAGAUGAGAGGGGCUGAAUGUGGCAUAUUGAUUUGAAAUAAUCAAAUUGGCUACUGGAUUUCUUACAAUACUAUUGCAGAGAACAUUAGUGUUUACCAGGGGUGGGGCGGAAUGUCCAUUUCUAGGGCCCUAAUAAAUAUGGGUUGCAGGCAAACUGAAAAGAUGGCCCCGGGAAGAAGCUUGCAUUCAGGGCAUGAGGUUAACUGAGGAGAAGACAAGGCUAAAGCUGAGGCAUAUGACUUCACGGUACAAAAUUCAAUUUUACAGAAAACCAUUCUGACAGGGAACCAACAGCCUAGAGGCUGAUGACAUAAUAAGGUUCAUAGAAUCUUUCUUUUACUUUAGAGGCUUCAAAUGAGCACGCAGUUCUCAAAACCUAACAUGCACUGACAAGGCACUUUUUAAAAACCUGUGCACAUUGGGAAAGAAGGAUUUUACAUUUGUUUCUUCACUGGAAAACCCGCUGUAGAAAACUGUACAACAGAGACUCUAAGCAGAGCUGUAUAAGCACAGACCUUACAUAUGCACUUAUUAAAAAUAAGAGCUAUAAAAUGGAGUUCCGCUUAUUGGGAUUACUGAAGAGGUAGGACUUCUUAUCUAUACUUGACUAACCUGCAAAACAAUGCCUAUCUGUAGGGAUAUACAGUGGUACCUCGGGUUAAGCACUUAAUUCGUUCCAGAGGUCCGUACUUAACCUGAAACUGUUCUUAACCUGAAGCACCACUUUAGCUGAUGGGGCCUCCUGCUGCCGCUGCAUGAUUUCUGUUCUCAUCCUGAAGCAAUGUUCUUAACCGAAACACUAUUUCUGGGUUAGUGGGGUCUGUAACCUGAAGCGUAUGUAACCUGAAGCGUAUGUAACCCGAGGUACCACUGUAUAGCCUGUUAACUGGGGAAAUGUAACAUUAUUUUCCAGCCCCAACUUGCACCAAUGGUGAAGUUGGGAUCCUUUUGCAAAUUUGAUUGGAAAGGUGGGGAGAACACAUUUAUAUUUGUAGCUGGUGCUUUCUGGAAUCGCAGUUUUGGCAAGUGCAAGAAAUCUAGUACGAUUUCAUUUAGAGACAGUUGUGAGUAGGCGCCAUGUUAUUGGGCAGGUGAAUUUUGCCUCAGGAAAGUGGAUUUUGAGCUGAUUGGGAUUAUAACUGCUGGGCUUUGCUUCAUGUCCCCACUUCACCCCAAGUAGAUUAUAAAUUCUGCUACAGAAAUGCCUUUGUUCAAGUCUGCAGGUGGAAGGAAGAGAUGGAAACAAUGGGGGAGGGACUUUUUCUGUCGAUCUUUGAAGAGGGACUCUGUUUGCGUUUCCUCUCAUUCCUUUCGUAGCUUCACAAAACUAGCUUCCAGUAAGAAAGAGACAACUUUAUUAUUGUAUGUAAGCUCUAGUUUUGCUAUGUUUGGUAGAGCAUGAGCCUCUUAGGACUCAGCUACACAGGUCAAUUGGUAACGUUAAAAUGUGUUAUAAAAAUGCGACACAGAUGGCGCUGUAGAGCAGAAUCCAAAGUCAAUGGCAGAUUGCCUUGGGAGCUCCCCCCCCCCCCCGCCGCCGUAGUGGUUUUUAUAUAUAAAUCCAGCCUUACUCUUAGGAUUGUGGGUUUGAGUCCCAUGUUUCCUGCAUUGCAGGGGGAUUAGACUAGAUGACCAUCGUGGCCACUUCCAACACUAUGAUUUUCUGAUUCUAUUAAAAAGGCAGUAUUAUUCAGUAUCCCUUCAGAGCACUGCUCAUUUCUGAGGACUGUGGUGUUUAUGGCAUGCAUAUUCUAUAGGAACUGGUGGAAUUCCCUUCUCUGGUCCCUACUGGAAAUCACCUAGGAGGACUGCAUUAAGUUGUUCCAUGUCCUGCAGAUUUUUGGCUUAGCAGGACUGCAAACUGUGAGGAGAGAUUUUUUUGGGCGGUGUUGCAUGGCACUGGGCCAGAUGACCACCGGAAUUCCUCCCAGCUCUACAAUUCUAUGAUUCUAUCUAUGAUUCUAUGAAAGGUUUCCUUGCUUCCCAACAUUCAUGGAUGCUCCUAUAACAUGGUAGAAACUUACCACAGAAACCAGGGCAUAAUCAAGCCAAAGCUAAGCAUUUUUAGCUCCCACUUAUUUCAGUGGAGAGAUUUAGGUAUGCACAUCUGUUGACUUUUGAACAUCCUCUUAGCUUUUUAGCAACAGAUGUGCCUCAUUCUUGCAUUGAAAUAAGGCGCACAUCUAACAAGGUAGAAAUUGGCUGGGUCAUUCCUCAGACUGUUGACUUAAUGUAUCCCAAAAACAUUGAAAACUUUUAGAAAGUAAUCACUACUGUUCUCUUUAACUUUGUCCAAAAAUUGAAAUUAAAAAAUAUUACAUUCCACAAAAAUUAGUUUUGAAAUUGCAGACUUUGGUGCUUUGUGUGUAAGAGUUAAAUCUACAGUACAACAACACACAGCAUGCAGUGAGUUAUAUUUUCCAGUGCUCUUUAAACGAGCUUUUAUCCCUAAUUAUUUUAGCCAGAGUCGGCCUUGUGAAUAUCUAUUAGCAGUUGGAUUUUAGUCUAGGUAUUAAAUUAAUAAAAAAAAGCUUAUUACAAGAUUUCUGCUCAGAACUAUACUUCCUUAUACAGCUCAGUCGUUGGUGUUUUCAGAUGAUGCAUGCCGUGCAUUCUUUGUCAUGUCUGUUAAACAAAGAAUUCUCUUAAGUCUGUAUGUUGAACUGGUAGUUGAUUAAUCAGUGGGAACAAAUUUUAAUCAGCAGGACAGAGAUUGAAUUGUACCCUUGUUUAAAACCAUUUUGAACCAAGUAAGGAGAAUGAAAAUAAUAAUUUUUGCCUGCCCUAACAAGGAGUGGUGCUUUAAUUUAUUAAAUCCUAAGUUAUUUCACUCUGUUUUCAAUAUCUUUGAAAAGAUCUCUGUAUAAGAGUUUGCCUUUUUGUGAAUAUAUUUACAGUUAUAUAGUCCAUUUCAAUACAGGUAGUUAAUCAACUACAACUCUUUAAUCUCUGGACACUCCUAAUUUAUGCUACUAAAAUGGUAGCCAUGGUUCUGUGGACAAUAUCUCCAAUGAUUUACAAUAUUUAUUGGUUUUAUCCAACUGAUACAAUCCUAACCAUGUCCACUCAAAAGUAAGUUCUGUUGAAAUCAGUGGUGCUUACUCCCAGGUAAGUGGGGUUAGGACUGCAGUUUAACUCAUACUUGGAUUAGGCCCAUUUAAAUCCGUUCACUUUAAGUUAAACAUGACUAAUUUAAACCAAUGAUUUCAAUAGGUAUACAUCGAGUAUGACUUAGUUUGAUACAACCCAUUGUAUAUUUAGUGUCGCAGCCAAAAGUUUGUAAAGUCAGAGUGAUGUUUAAUAUUUAAUAUUGCUUUAAUAUUGAUAUUUUAACACAGCAAAUAUCCUUAAUUAAUGUAACGUUAUUUUUAUAUUAUAGGUACAAGAAUGGCUGUGCUUAAACUGCCAGACACAAAGAGCAUUAUCAGGACAGCUUGGGGAUAUGGACAAAAUAACACCUCCUGUACUUUCCAAAUCAUCACCCAAGCCAUCAACUGCUCCUCAAAGCCAGGCUAAACCUGUUGAGCAGAAGACUUCAGCUCAAAUGCUGGAAAAGCCAAGAGGAGGAAUGGGAAUUCAGAAGGAAGAUUCAAAACUUCAACAGGGCAAAUUGGCAAAGGCAAUUUCAUCUGAUAAAAUCCAGGAAGGUACACAAAGGGAAGAUUCAAAAGUUCAACAAGAAAAACUG
This 74140-nucleotide long non-coding RNA is filed under the name Podarcis lilfordi (Lilford's wall lizard). The record is from RNAcentral. Lineage: Eukaryota; Metazoa; Chordata; Lepidosauria; Squamata; Lacertidae.